GGUGGGCAAGAGGAGGGCUUUCUCAACAAGCUCCGCGAGCUCGGUAUAAUGGGAGUCAAGAAGAGCAACGAGGACAGAGUUGGAGUUGAUUUGAGGAGAGUUGGAGGAAGAAGAGGGCUUCCUGGGCAAUGCAGAAGAAUGGGCAUGGGUAGAGAGGAGGAAGAAAGAAGCGAGGAAGAGGAUGUUGAUCAUCUUGAGAUUGGGGAAGCCAUAGAUGUGAUAAUCCAUGGCUCAAAGCCCUGAGAAAGAUGGACUGUUUCUCUGUUUUCGGGAAGAGAGUGGGUGGGUUUGGGGGAAGAAAGGAGAUGAUAAAAGAGAGAGUGAGAGGAGAGAGGUGGAGGAGGCAUUAACGACUGAGAGGGAGAGAGAGAAAGGGAGUAAAUUAGAGUUAAGAGAGAGAAGCGAGGGAGACAGGCUGUAAGUGGGGACCACAUGGGACUUGUCUGUAUCAUUACUCUCUUGCGCCUUUUGUUUAGUUGUGGUGGCUCUUGUUAGCCGCCGCGCCAAGCUGCUUCUCUCUUUCCCCUCUCCUACCAGUUACCACUCACACCUCCAUUAUUAAUUUAUUUAUUCUCUUUCCACCCCACCCCGUCAUCAAAUAACUCUCAUUAUUUCGUACCUUCAAUAAUCUUAAAAUUUUUACUUUAUUAUAUUAAUACUUAAUCAUUGUAAUUAAUAGAAGAAAUUAUUCAAGUGGGUUGCAAUUUUUUAUACCAAUAAUUACUUAAGAAAAAAUAAAUGAAAUAUUUCAAAUAAAUAUUUUUUGAAAUAUAUGUAUAUAAAGUCAUAAUACAUUUUAUUAAUACUUUAUUUAUCCUAACUUGUUCAAAUAUUUACAAUUAUACCAUUAUGCAUAUAUACAACCUCGAGCAAAAGAUUUUUUUUUUUUUCUGUCAUGUAAUGGCAUAAUUGUAAAUAAUAAUACCAUUAAGGAUAAAUGAUAGAUAUAAUGAGAAUGAUUAUCUAACCGUCGCCAUGCAAGCAACAAAUGGCAAGGCAUAUUGUUGACAUUACACUACCCGUCCCAACCUUCGUUUAGCACCACGCCACCUGUCCUUUGAACCUUGCUUUGAGAAAUGUACCGUAAUUUAUUCUUUCACCUUUUUCAGCAUCUUCUCUUCUUCUACUUCUCUUUCAGUCUAGUUAGGUUAUUUAAAUUUUUUUUUUUUUUUUUUUUUUUGCAUGCUUUUCUUAUUUAGGUGAUAUAGAAUCCUCAUCUACAUAGAAUUUGAGGGAAAUAGGGAUUGUUUGUAAUUUAUGUAUGUAUGUUAAUGAUAUCUAUACUCUAUGAUAAAAGUUUUUUUAAAAAUAAAAAAUGAAUAAUAAAUAAAAAAGUAUAGAAGGAAAGAUAGUGAUCUCUAAUCUUUCAUUCUUUUUGGUGUGCUUGGCUGGUGAAAAAACAAAAGAAAAUUGGGCACCCUUUUUCAACAAAAAGAAAAAUGGAAAAAGAAAAGAAAAGAAAAGAAUAAAGCAACAUUACGAAGAAACCCAAAUUCUAGAACAAAGAAAUAAUCAAAAUUGUGACAUGUUUUUAGAUCACAAAUAUUUGCGUGUGAGAGACUCGAAGAAAAAAAAAGCUUUCUGUGAGAGAACCACGAGAAAUAAGAAUGAAAAUGAAUAUUUUAUUUUUGAUUUAUUAUUGUCUAUAGAUUUUUAUUAUCCAUAUCAAAUACUUCCUUCUACUAAAAUUAAGAUUUUUCUCUAUUUUAUUUCAUAUCUUAACUAUUAGGAUUUCAUUUCAUUUCUAUUGCAUAAAAUGCACUAAUUAUAUUACUCACCACCCUCUUUUUCUCCCUAUGCUCCUUUAAUGCUCUUGUACAUAGUUAUAAAAUGAGUGAUUUUACUCCAACUUAAAUGGGUUGAUUAAAGAUGAAACAUUAACUUAGGUGGUGUUUGUUUUUUUACUUAAUUCUAAAUAGAACCAUAAUGCUUAAUAGUGUUAAAUAUUAGGUUGUUUGUUUUUAUAAUAUUUUAUUUCUAUUAACUAUUAAAAAGUAUAGAAAAACCAAUAUAUUAUUUUUUCUAUUUAAAAAAAACUACCGUAGUGUGUUUUUUUUUACUUAAUUCUAAAUAAAAAUUUAAUGCUUAAUAGUGUUAAGUAUUAGACCGUUUGCUUUUAUAAUAUUUUAUUUCUAUUAAGCAUUAAAAGGUAAAGAAAAAUUAGCAUGUUAUUUUUUCUAUUUAGAAAAAGUCAAAUAUUUUGAUUUUUUCUAUUCAGUAAAAAGUUUAUAAUAAAUCAUGAAAAAGUAGAAAAAUAAACAACCUAAAGUCUGAAAGCAAAUUACUUUUAGCAAAAAGCUAAAAAACAAACACACUCUACAUAUUUUGGUUUUUUCUAUUUAGUAAAAAGUUUAUAAUAAGUCAUGAAAAAAAUAGAAAAACAGACAACCUAAAUUUUGAAAACAAAUUGUUUUCAGCAAAAAGCCAUAAAAACAAACACCACCUUAAUAAUAAUUCCUUUAGUUGAAUUUGACAUAUAUCUUUUAUGAAUCUUAAUUGAUUAUGAUAUAAAUGAAUUCAAGACUUCAAGGAUUGAAGAAGUAAUCCUUAGAGAUUGAUAGAAUUACCUUGUUGUAUUAUAGAUAUCAAUUCAUAGGUAAGUUGUAUGUAAUGGAUAGUAGGUCAUGAACCUAAGAAAUUAAUUGAUUUUCCUAGGAUACUAGAGUGUAGUUAAUUUUCUUUAGUGAAAUGUUAAGCCAAUUUUGUAAUUUGUUAUUAAGAGAGUCAGUAUCUUCCUAUAAGUUCUCAUGGUUCUCACUUAAGUAAGCUCACAUCCUUUAAUGACACAUGUAAGCACACGCAUGCUAAAGCUAGUACAAACACAAACAUUAAGUAAAAGCAUGCCUAUACAUAAGCACAAGGUUACACAAGUGAUUGGAGCUCAAAUAUGUACUCCAAUGGCACAUAACAAUGAUUUAUGAAAUAUAAAAGGUUGAACUCACUCAACUUAACUUAAAACUUGAGAAGCAUGAGAAGAUCUAAGUAAGUGCAAAAUGAGAAUUUCAUGGGCAUGAAAAAUGGGGAAUGAAUGUUAUAGAGUGGGAUAGAGGGCGAACAACCAUGAAAGAGGAGAUUUGAAGAAAAUGUAAUCAAACUUCAAAUAAAAUUUGGAACUCAAAAUCUAGCAACAACAUAUACCUUGAAUUUGAGGUGAAUUGUAGAGCACUUCAUGUAAUCUUUUUAGGAACAACCACAUAUGAUUUCAAAGUUGAAAUGAGGAAGUUAUGGUUCAUUGAACCAGGUAUGCAAGAGACUCAAGAAAAUUUAAAAUGGACUUUCCAUUUUGAAAACAUACCCAAAUUUCAAAGUACAUUAUCUCCUAAUUGGAGGGAUGAUUGGUGUUAGCUAACGGGAUAGUCUCAUGGUGAAUGCAGUAGUGUGUACAUUUACAUAGUAGAAAUGAUCUACAGUGAAUCAUAAUGUAAGACUAUUGGGUAGUUUUAACUUCACCAAAGUGCUAUGUUGUAUUGUCUUUCAACUUUGAGAGAAUACUGAAUUUGAGUUAAAGUUAGUAGGGGCUUUGACUUGUGGGUGAGAUCCUAAAGUAUUAUAUAUCCCCUAUGGAUUGAGUCAUUAUUGAUGAGAAUUGAUAGUAUUAUGUAUUCUCGGUAGAGGCUUUAUGAUAUCUCAUGGACCUUGAGAUAGUGUAUUCCUUUUAGAUGAUCUUAAGGAAGUGUGUUAAUGUAAAAUAUAAUCAUCAUAGUUCCUUAAGUGGAACUUGCUAUAAGCUCUUUGUAAGCUAGGACAUUUGGGAUAAAACCCUAGAAAACAUGACAUAAUAUAAUAGAUUGAGAAAUGAAAAACCAAAAGUCCAAUAGGAAACACCAAAAGAUGUGGUGAAUUGGUGAUUUUUCAACAUUUUCAUGAGUUUUUGUCAAUUUUCAUCUUACUGAUAUUUUAUGUCAAAAUAUUCAUUGAUAUUUCCUAAUACAUUUAUAAAAUUAAGUUCUCAAUAUAUCCAUUGAAAUUGAUAUUUUCACCCUUGUAUAUAGGGUUCCCUAUAGACUUAGUAACUUGUGCUUAAAUUGGGCUUGGGUCACCUAAUUUAACCCACUUGGGUUCUAAUUAAUUAAUUAGUCCUGAUAGACUCCAAUUAAUUAAUUAACCCAACCACCAAGUCAAAAAUACGAUUCAUAAGAUCUAGUGCAAUCUUACAUUUUUAUUAAAACACCUUUAUGCACGUUUAUGAACUACAAACUCAAAUCCCUCAAAUAAAAUAUGUCAUCGUGAACUAGGGAUUCGAGUGGGGACCACUAUCACUCAUAGGAAAAUAUUGAUUCCCUUAUAAUCCAAUUUUAACUCAAUAUUCCACUAGAGGAGACAACUCUGAUCAAGUAUCCUAUGAAAUUACAAUGAGAUAAAACUCAAGUUAGUGACCUACUAUUUAUUGCAUGCAAACUCUCUAUGAACUAGUGUUCAUAAUCAUUUGGGUAGUGCUAUCAACACAUCAAGAUUACCUCUCCAAUUCUUGAGUUAUAAAUCGCCUUAUUAUGUGAUCAAUUGACAUAGCUCAUAAAGAGCACAUGCCAAAUUUUACUUAAGGAACUACUACAACCACAUGUUCCAUGAUCACAUGUCCUUUGGAUCACUAAAGGGGAUAUAUUAUCUCAAUCCCAUGAGAUAUCAUGGUGUCUUUAUCGAGAAUACCUGUUAUCAUUAGCCUUCAUCAAUAGUGAACUAAUUUAUAGGGAUAUAUGACUACAUUAGUGUCUCACCAAUAUGUUAAAGUCUUCUAUUAAUUUCAAGAUAGACUCAAUAUUCUUUGAAGGUUGAGAGUUUAUGUAAUAUAAUAGUUUAGUGAAUCAUGACAAUCUGAUAGUUUUACAUCAUGAUUCACCAUAGGCCUUAUCCAAUGUGUAACCAUACAUAUUAGUGCACUCAUAAUGGGAAACUCAUCUCAACGAUCAAGAUAAGUCAUUCGUCCAAUUAAGAGGUCGUCUACUAUAGUAUUUAUGUCUAAAUCCAUGAAUCGAUUGUGAACUACUUUCAUCUUGUAAGGAAUCCAUAACUUGUAUCUUUAUACAACUUUUAAUGCACUUAAAUCAUGAACAAUGCAAGUAAUAUGAGUCUGAAUGCUCAAAUCAAUAUCAAUGAAAAAAACAGAUAGAAAGUGAAAAGUUAAGUCUAACUUUGUUACAUCAUGUCUUGAUUUUAAAGGCCCUAUCCUAAUAUCCAUUCCACGCAUUACAUAUUAUAAGCAUUUUGAUUUAGUAUAUUUUGCAUUGUACAUGACUUGAGUGCAUUAAAAGUUGCACGAAAGAUCCAAGUCAUGGGUUCCUUGCUACUAGAUGAUUAGUUCACAACUAGUUCAUGGACUUAGGCAAUUCAUUUGAGAUUAUAGUACAUUACCUCCUACUUGAAGGGAUGAUUGAUCUUGGUCAUCAGGAUGAGGUUUCCAUGGUGAAUGCACUAUUGUGCAUGGUUACAUAUUAAAUAAAACCUAUGAUGAGUCAUGAUGUAAGACUAUUGGGUAGUCAUAACCUUACCAAGUGGCUAUACUAUAUAGUCUCUCAACCUUGAGAGAAUAUUGAGUUUAUACUGAAAUUUGUAGUGGUUUUGACCUGUAAGGGAGAUUUUAAGGUGAUCAUAUAUUCCUUAUAGAUUGGGUCACUAUUGAUAGAAGUUAGUAACAAUAAGUAUUCUCAAUAAAGACACUAUGAUAUCUCAUAGACUUUGAGACACUAUAUCCCCUUGGGUGAUCCUAAAAACAUGUGAUCAUGAAAUCUAUGGUUGUGGUAAUUUAUUAAAUGGAAUUUGACAUAAGCUUUUUGUGGGUUAAAUAUGCCAAUUGAGUACAUAAUAGGAGGAUCUAUAACUUAAGAAUGGUUCAGGUAAUCUUGAUGACAAGGUUUACAAGGGUUGUUUGAGUUCUUUUGUUCACUUGUUUGCAUAAGGGUGUUUUAGUAAAUACAUAAGAUUACAUAGGAUUUCAUUAAUGGUCUCUUUAGAUUAGGUUAAUUUAUUAAUCAAAGCUAAUUAGGUUAAUUAAUCAAUUAGGACCCAAGAUGGGCUAAUUUAAGUGACCCAAACCCAAGAUGGGCUCAAGUCGUUUAAGUUCACUAGAAGCCUAUAAAUACCAUUUCUUUAAGGUUAGGGUUUCAUCCUUUUGACAGUCUUCUUGUUCACUUAGAAACAUAAAGCUAUAACCACCAACCCCAAAGAGAGGAUUCUACCCUUUUAGUGUUAAGAUUCUAGGAGACAGUCAUUGUGGUGGAAGAUCGAUGGGUUCACGAGAUCUACAAUCACUACCACAACUUCAAAACUUUUCUUCAUUACUUAGAUUAGAUCUAGGAACAUUCAAAUCUAAGGUAAACGUUUCCAUGCUAGAUCUAAAAGUUCUAAAUGUUAUAUUUAUGUUUAUUGCUAAGAUCUAUAGAGCUUAGAAAGAAUUGCAUGCACACUAAUUAGUCCAUAAAUGAGAAUGGAGUAGUAUAAGAUUUCCCUACAGAACAAGGCAUAGGAGUUUAUCCUUUAUGUUUAUAACUUUUAUGUCUUUUCUUUUUGGAGAAUAGUAUUAAGGGAGAUGUUCCUUUUCUUACUCAUAUUUUAAUAACAUGCAUCAUUUUGCACAAUUUUCUAUUGUUAGCUAUUUUCUUCUUAUUUUUAUGCUUCUACAUCAGUUAGUAACUAUAGGGUUGUUCUAGGGAGAUGAUUGACCCAAAAUGACUUUGUACCCUUAGAAGAAUGCCUUUGAGGUGUGGCUUAUAGGAAUGUUUGUAAUAGUAUCAUUCUAGUGAUAUGCUUGACCCAAAACGACUUUGAAUCAUAAUGCAAAAGCCUUUGAGGGUUUUGGCUAGGUGUUGGUUAUGAUAGGGUGAUUUCAAGAUGAUGCUCGAAUUGAAAUGAAUUUAUUCUCUUAGCCAAAUGCCUUUGAGGGCUUGGCCAUUUGGUGCCAAUUAUGAUAGGUUCCUUUCAACAUUUCAAGAAGAUGUUCAAUCUAAAAUAACUUUAUACCCUUAAGCAAAUACUCUUGAAAGGUUUAACAGCUAGGGAGUCAAUUAUGAUAGGAUCAUUUCAAGGAGAUACUCAACUCGAAAUGGCUUUACACCCUUACAUAAAUAUUCUUGAUGGAUUAGCUACUGGGGGCUAAUUGUGAUAAGGUCGUUUGAGGGAGAUGUUUAUCUUGAUAUGACUAUGUACAAUUAGGCAAAUGUCUUUAAGGGUUGGCCACUAGGGGUCAGUUAUAAUAGGGUUAUUCACGGAGAUGCACUACUUGGAAAAUGAGAGAAAAUAGUGGGGAAGCUAUAAGGAUACCCAAAUUGAGAUAAGCAUGCCACCCCAAGAGACACGAGUAAAAAAAGGAUUAGACAACUUGAGAAUGAAAAAUGUAAAACCAUUGCCCAUUUCCAAAGCAAUGUCUGGCUUAUGAUGAUAACCUUUAUUAAUACAAGACAUAUAUUAAAGGUUAUGAACCUCAUAAUUACAACAUAUAUAUAGAGCUACAAAGCAAUUGACUUGUAACUAUCAUAAAUUGAGAGAGCAGAAUUAUGGAAUAAUUUUAUUUUCAUUCAUAUCAUAAAACUACAUUUGGUGUUAGCUUUAUACAGAAAAAUCCUAGCUAUAGAAAAGGAAACUAAUUACUAGGCUAUAUCAAAUCCCAUGAUUUAUGGGAUACUAUAACAAAAUAGGAAACUAACUAAAUUAACCUAAUUCUAGGAAUUCUGGCUGUUACAAACAAACUCUCCUAAACUAGCAUAAUUACUAUACACAACAAAAUACAAGCCAUUAAUUUACAACCAUAAUUCACGUUUUCACACACUCCCCCUCAAGCUGGUGAAUAGGUAUUCACCAUUCCCAGCUUGGAUACAAAACUUUGAAACACUAAACUACUUAGCCCUUUGGAAAGUAUAUCGGCAAGUUGACCAUGUGUAGACACAUAAGGUGUACAUAUCAAUCCACUAUCCAACUUCUCUUUGAUGAAGUGUCUGUCAAUUUCAAUGUGCUUCGUUCAAUCAUGUUGUGUCGGGUUGUGAGCUAUGCUGAUUGCAGAUUUAUUAUCACAAUAGAGUCUCAUUGUGCCAUCCCAUUUAAUCUUUAAGUUUUCUAAAACGAUCUUCAACCAUAGUAGUUCACACACACCCUGAGCCAUUGCUCGGAAUUCAACCUCCGCACUAGAUUGUGCUACCACAUUUUGUUUCUUACUCUUCCAUGUUAUGAGAUUUCCACCAAGAAAGGUGCAAUAUCCAAAGGUUGACCUUCUGUUAAUAAUUGAGCCAACAUAAUCAGCAUCUGUGUAUGCCUCAAGUACUAACCCUUCAUUCCUUUUGAACAGAAUACCUUUACCUAGUGUCCCUUUGAGAUAUUGUAACACUCGAUAAGCUGCCUACAGAUGAGCUUCCUUUGGACUAUGCAUGAAUUGUCUAAUCACACUCACUACAUAUGCUAUAUCUAGUCAUGUAUGAGAUAGAUAAAUGAGUCUUCCCACCAAGUGUUGAUACAUUUUUUUAUCUAUUGUAGCAUCCUUUUCUGUCUCUCUAAGUCUAAGAUUUGGAUCUAUCGGAGUACUUGCUGGUUUGCAUGCCGUCUUGCCAGUUUCUUUGAGAAGAUCUAUAACAUACUUCUGUUGGGAGAUAAAAAUGCCUUGCUUAGAGUGAGCCACCUCAAUACCAAGAAAAUAUUUCAACCUCCUUGUGGACCCGCAUUUUUCACGUGCGUCCCCACUCGAUCGGCGAGACUCGCUUUUUAUUUAUUUGUGAAAAUUUGAUUUUUUGAAAAAAAGUUGGAGUCGCCACUUAUUUUAUUUUUAUUUUUGAAGGGAAAAUAAAACAAGAAAUAAAACCCUAAAAAAAAUGACUCCAUAAUUUUUGGAAAAGCGUGUCUUUGAAAACCCAAGUCUUGGUCCGGGGAUCAGGUUACUUAUUGGGAAGGUACCUCUAGGAGGUAGCACCCCUCUAAGCCCUAAAGAGGUCUCUACUAAUUAAGUUAAGGGGAAUAUGACAAUUAAUCGGUUAAUUAUGGAUACCUAAGUAGGCUAGGUGAUUUCAAAAAAUUUGCAUGCUAAACAAGAUCAAAUUGCCAUAAAAGAAAGGUUAGGAUGCGUACCCGGACCGCUUCUCAAGCGCUAUCAUAAAACAUCAGAGUUAGUAUAGAAGUAUAACACACAACAUGUAUUUAAUCAUAGUGAAUCAAACAUAUAUCUAAACACCUAAGGAUUAUCAAACAUAUGCAUACUUCAUAGUGACACGAUUGUUUACAAAAUUUAGAAAGUAGGCGAUAGGGGGGGCGUACCUGGAUAGCAUAAAUAACUUACAAUGCGCUCCCAUAAGACAUGAGGGAUUAGAUAAUAAUAAAAUAAAGAAACCCUAGCAUGCUUGUUAUCUAAUUAGCAUAACAAAAAUUAUCAAAGUAUAUGAAAACAUUAAUUAUCACACACAUCUUAUAUACAAUUCCUAAAAAAGAUAGACAUAAUUUCAACAAGUGACAAAAAUGGCAACAAAAAUAAUUUUUGAAAAGAUUUUCUUAUGUAGGGGUUUCACCAAUUCCCCAAUUGAUAUAUACGAAUUUAGCCCAGAAUCAUCCCAUUAUUUGGGACCACAAGCUUUGAUUCGUGUUUUUGUUCAAAACCAAAAUUUUUGUUGAAAACCGAGAAGGAUGCAAACCAAACAAGAUAUGGUUGCAUAUUAUUUUUAAAUAAUAAAAAAAAAAGAGAUUUUGAUCCUGAGGACUCUAAAUGAGUUUUUGAAAUAGAUUUUUAAAAUGAUUUUUUUGAGAAAAGUAUUUUAUUUUAAAAUAAAAGGAAUUAAUUUGGAAAAAAUAAAAUAUAAGAAAUAAAAUACCCAACAAAACAAAAAUGAAACCUCAAAGUAAAAUUUUUUUAGUAAUUAACAAAAAUGAUAAUGGUGAUGGUAGAGGCCAAUCUUCAUGAUUUUCCAAUGGCCUUUGAACAAAAAGGAAACUAUCAAAGCAAUAAAUUAUUAAUAUUUAGAUCAAAUAAGCUAAUGAAAUAUCCAUCAAGAAUUAGCAACAAGGAUUCAAGAAGCGCAUAAAUUGAGAAUAACAAUCCAUAAUUAACAUAAGAUUAACUAAACACAUAAAUGCCUCUAGACUAAAAAAAUAAAUUAAAUCAAGAUUAAACUUUAUCUAAUGGGAUUAAUUAAACUAAUGUAUUCAAAUCACAAACACAUACAAGUGAAGAACAAAUUAAAACUAAAUUAAAUUGUAAUUAAAAACAUGAACUUUAUUUAAUAAGAUUAAUUAAACUACUAAAUUACAAUUACAAACACAUCCAAAUUAAAAAUAAAUAAAAGCUAAACUAAAUCGGAAUUUCAAAUAUGAACUUUAUCUAACAAGAUUAUUUAAACUAAUGAAUUAAAAUCACAAAUAUACUUAAACUAAAAGAUAGGUUAAAACUGAACUAAUUUAGAAUUAAAAAAAUAUAAACUUUAUCUAACAUGAUUAUUUAAACUAAUAAAUUAAAAUCACAUACAUAUUUAAACUAACAAAUAAAUUAAAAAUAAACUAUUUUGGGAUUAAAAACAUGAACUUUAUCUAACAUAAUUAUUUAAACUUAAGGAUUAAGAUCAACUAAUGCAUUUAAACUAAAAACGAAUUGAAAUCAAACUAAUUGAGAUUAAAAACACAAACUUUAUUUAACGUGAUUAUUUAAAGUAAAGAAUUAAAAUCAACAAAAUACAUUUAAACUAAAAACAAAUUAAAAUCAAAUUAAUUGGGAUUAAAAAUACAAAAUUUAUUCGAUAUGAUUAUUUAAACUUAAGAAUUAAGAUCAACAAAAUGUAUUUAAACUAAAAACGAAUUGAAAUCAAACUAAUUGAGAUUAAAAACACAAACUUUAUUUAACGUGAUUAUUAAAAGUCAAGAAUUAAGAUCAACAAAAUAUAUUUAAACUAAAAAAUGAAUUGAAAUCAAAUUAAUUGGGAUUAAAAAUACAAGCUUUAUUUAACGUGAUUAUUUAAAACAAAGAAUUAAGAUCAACUAAUGCAUUUAAAUUAAAAAUGAAUUAAAAUCAAACUAAUUGGGAUUAAAAAUACAAACUUUAUUCAAUACAAUUAUUUAAACUUAAGAAUUAAGAUCAACAAAAUACAUUUAAACUAUAAACGAAUUGAAAUCAAAUUAAUUGGGAUUAAAAAUACAAACUUUAUUUAACGUGAUUAUUUAAAACAAAGAAUUAAGAUCAACUAAUGCAUUUAAAUUAAAAAUGAAUUGAAAUCAAACUAAUUGGGAUUAAAAAUACAAACUUUAUUCAAUACAAUUAUUUAAACUUAAGAAUUAAAAUCAACUAAUGCAUUUAGAUUAAAAAUGAAUUGAAAUCAAACUAAUUGGGAUUAAAAGUACAAACUUUAUUCAAUACAAUUAUUUAAACUUAAGAAUUAAAAUCAACAAAAUACAUUUAAACUAAAAAAACAAGUUAAAAUCAAACUAAUUGGGAUUAAAAAUACAAACUUUAUUCGAUAUGAUUAUUUAAACUUAAGAAUUAAGAUCAAUAAAAUGUAUUUAAACUAAAAACGAAUUGGAAUCAAACUAAUUGAGAUUAAAAACAUAAACUUUAUUUAACGUGAUUAUUUAAAGUCAAGAAUUAAGAUCAACAAAAUACAUUUAAACUAAAAAACAAAUUAAAAUCAAACUAAUUGGGAUUAAAAAUACAAAAUUUAUUCGAUAUGAUUAUUUAAACUAAAGAAUUAAGAUCAACAAAAUACAUUUAAACUAAAAAACGAAUUGAAAUCAAAUUAAUUGGGAUUAAAAAUACAAACUUUAUUUAACGUGAUUAUUUAAAACAAAGAAUUAAGAUCAACUAAUGCAUUUAAAUUAAAAACGAAUUGAAAUCAAACUAAUUGGGAUUAAAAAUACAAACUUUAUUCAAUAUGAUUAUUUAAACUUAAGAAUUAAAAUCAUUAACAAACUUAAACUAAAAGAUAGAUUAGAAUUAAACUAAUUGGGGAUUUAAAAAGAAAAAAAUAUAAACUUUAACACAAAGAAUUAAUCAAAAACUAAAAUUUCCAAAAAAAAAAAAAAAUCUAGGCUAAAUAAAAGUACUAUAUAGAAAACUAACCUUUGAAGUGAAAGAGAAAAUCCUCUCUUGAUGAUUAAAUGACAGCCCUAUCUCCGUUCGAAGUCCCUUGCUUUUUUCCAAAAUUCCGUGUGCUUUGCCCCCCAAGAAAAAUCUCAUCUUCUUUUCCUUUUCUCACCUAUAUAUAUCACCCCUCAAGACCUAAAUUUGUUUCCAAAAAGGAAAAUUCUCCUCCUUCCUUUCUUCUUCUCUUCUUUUUUUAAAUCCUCCAAUCAAAAGCAAUCUUCCCAAUUUCAAAUUCCCCUCCAAAACCUUCCAAGGAGAGUCCCAUCUUCCUUAAACUCCAAUGGUAAGUUUCCUUGCAAAAACAUGAAAUUUUUGAAGUUAAAUAAUUGCAUGUAUAGAUAAAUAAGUAAAUAAAUUAAAAAAUGGUAAAAAUAAUAAAUAAAUAAAUAAGUUAAGGAAAAUAAUAUAAAGAGGAAGAUAACCAAUAAAAAGUGAAUGAUAAUCAUAAAAUUAAAAUUAAAAACAAAAUAAAUAAAUAAAUAAAUAAAAUAAAAUAAAAUAAAAUAAAAGUCUUCGUAGGCCUAGUGUGCCUAAACGGGCCUAAGGUGAGACUAAGUGGGCCUAGGGUAGUGCCUAAUGGGCCAAGUGUAUCUAAAAGCUAUCCUAAAAAAACAAGAAAAGCCUAAGUCUAAGUUAGGGCUGCCAAGGGUCACAAUAAGGGAUCAAAUAAUCCCUCAACCAAAAUCUCCGAGGUGACUCAGAAAAAGGUAAGUGGUAUGAGUAGCCAUGGGCCACCAAGGAACUAUUGUGGAGCAUUGAAAAUGAAUUUUAAAGACAUGUGCUAAAGGGACAAAAUUGAGGGUCUACACUCCUUAACGCCUUGAUCUCAAAUUUCUUAGCCAAACAUUGAUUUAGAACUUGUCUCUCCUUGUCAUUAUUUCCUGUCACUAUUAUGUCAUCGACAUACACCAAGAAAGCUGUGAGUCCUCCUGAAGAUGAGUGUUUAAUGAACAACGUAUGAUCUCCUUGACUUUGCCUAUAUCCCAUGGUUAUCAUCACUCUUACGAAUCUUCCAAACCAUGCUCGUGGUGAUUUCUUAAGUCCGUACAAGGCCUAUUUUAAUUUACAUACAAUAUGAGCAGCUAAAUUAUUGUCAUAACCUGGCAGGACCUCCAUAUAAAUUUCUUCCUCUAGUUCUCCAUGAAAAAAAAGCAUUCUUGACAUCAAAUUGCUGUAAAUCCCAAUUGUUAUUAGCUGCUAAUGACAACAAGACUCUAAUAGUGUUCAUCUUUGCAAUCGGAGCAAAAGUUUCUUGGCAAUCAAUCCCAUAGGUUUGAGUAUAACCCUUGGCAACCAAUCUAACCUUGUAUCUUUCAAUUGAUCCAUCUGCUCUGUAUUUCACAGUAUAAACCCAUUUACAUCCCACGGGUUUCUUUCCUGCCGACAAUUUUACCAACUCCCAAGUUUUGUUUUUUUUUAAUGCCUCCAUCUCCACAUUCAUAGCUUGUUUCCAUUUUUCAUUGGUCAAAGCCUCGGAUACGGUGGUAGGGAUAGAAAUAGUGUUUAGGCUGACAAGGAAGGCUCUAUGAGAUGGUGAAAUUUUUUUAAAGGAUAGGAAGUGUGUAAAAGGGUAUAGAGGUCGAUUUGUGCAUUCUUUAAUCCAUUUCCUAACAACAAUAGGGAGGUCCUGGUCAUCAUUAUUCACAUAAGAUUCCGAUUGCAAUGAAGGAUUAGAAAUUGUUACCUCAUUCUCAGAAUUUGGGUUGAAGUCUUGGAUUUGCACAGAUUCAGGGACAAUUGUCUUCUUCCUCGAAAACACUUUGUCAAAUCUCACAUUCUCAGGGGCAAAUUUUGGAUUUUAAGGCACAAGUUCAGGCUGAUUGGGCAAUUUAGGUAAGGUUUCAAUCAAAGGAUCAGUGGGACGAGAUUGUUUUAACAAAGGAAGUGAUGACAGAUCAAGGAAUAAAAAACCCCCAUAUCCUUAUCUUCCAUUACUGAAUUCUCCCCCUGAAGAUAAGGAAUGGUGAAAUAAGAUUCUUGUUCAUGGAAAGUAACAUCUACCGAGACAGAGAAUAUUUUUUUAUGGAGGAUGGUAACACUUAUACCCUUUCUGAGUUGAAGAAUAACCCACAAAAACACAUUUUAAUGCACGUGGAUCUAACUUCCCUCUGUUUUGAUUAUGAACAUGGACAAAUGCCACAAACCCAAAUAUCAUAGGAACAAGAUUAUUUGUAGUGUGUAGGUUUGGAUAGAAUGUUGAAAGUAUGUCCAUUGGACUCUUGAAUCCCAAGAUCCUAGAAGGUAAUCUAUUUAUGAGAUAAGCAACUGGAAGAACUGCUUCUCCCCAAAAGGAUUUAGGCACAUAUUUCUGAAAAAUGAAGGAUCGGGUUGAGUCAAGAAGGCGACCGUUUUUUUCUUUCUGCCACUCCGUUUUUUUGUGGAGUGUUAACACAAGAUGACUCAUGUAUUAUUCCUUCCCUCUGAAAGUAUGGAGUUAGGAUUUGAUUGAAAUAAUCCGUAGCAUUAUCUGACCUAAAUCUUUUGACAUUGACUCCAAAUUGAGUCUUAAUCAUAGAACAAAAAUUUGGAAGGACGGUACUGACAUCAAAUUUAUGUUUGAGCAAAAAAAUCCAAGUGACUCGAGUACAAUCAUCAAUGAAUGAAACAAACUAUUUAGCCCCAGUAAUGUUAGGAAUAGGAGAAGGACCCCAAAUGUCAUUGUGUAUGAGAUAAAAAAGAAUAGAACUUCUUUUAUUGCUAAUUGGAAAAGACACAUGUUUGUGUUUAGCAAGUUAACACGCUUCAUAAUGAAAAUGUUCGAUGUCUAGACCUUUAAAUAAAGAAGGAAACAAAAUUUUAAUAACCCUAAAUGAUGGAUGUCCAAGUCGGCGAUGAUGAAACCAAAUUUUUUUUUAUUGAAUGAAAAAACUUCUGAGACAAAAGAAUGAGAUGAUUUGCCUUUGGUAAUUUUGAUUGACUUGGUGCUUUGAGAUAGUAGAGUCCAUCCCGUUCUCUAUCAUAUCCAAUCAUCCUCCCCGAAUCCUCGUCCUGAAAUACACAAUGACUAUGAUAAAAAACCACAUUGCAAUGUAAAUCUUGAGUGAGUUUUUGGAUAGAAAUGAGGUUCGUGGUUAACCUAGGGACGUGAAAAACAUUUUUUUAACAUUAGUGAUGGGCUUAUUUUGACAUCUCAUAUACCUGCUACAGUGGUCAAGGAGCCAUCAGCUGUGGCUAUUUUUCUACUGCUUGAACAUGGGAAAUAUGUGGAAAAAAUGUUUGGUGAAUGAGUCAUAUGGUCGAUAGCAUCUCAGUCAAUGACCCAGGAGUUGGCAAAGGUUAUAUCCGAGACAUUUAAUCCAAUAGAGAAUGGAAACUUACCUUAAUACGCCAAUAAACCAGUACCUACUAGUUUGUCAAGGUUGCAAAUAAGAGACCUCACCCUCUCAACUUCUUCUUGAUUAAGACUGCCUAUCUCUUGCGAUGUUGCUUCAUUCUGUUGUACUAUUGUAACAUGGGCCUGACCAUUAUUACUUGGUUGUUCUCCAUUUUGUCCCCACUCUCGACUUGGUGGUUUUCCAUGUAGUUUCCAGCACCGCUCAUGGGUAUGGCGUGCCUUCUUACAAUAAGUGCACCAUAAGUUGUCCUUAUAGUCACGAUUUUGAGUCUUUGGUUGACUAGAUCUUCCAUUUCCAGAAACUAGUACUCUUUCCAUAUUUGUGGCUAAAUUGUUACCACUGCCAACCACUAUAGUCGAGCUGUCCGUGUUAUGUGGAUUAAGCAUCAGGCAUCUUCUGCUUUCCUCUCCUCGAAUUAAUGCCACCACCUUAUUAAAGCACAGAACUUCUUGCUUGCCAAGAAUCUGGAUUCGCACUUGGUCAAAUUUUGGAUUGAGUCCAACAAGAAAAUCAUAAACUCGAUCUUGUUCUAUGAAAUCCUUGAGAAUAGCAGCAUCUUCGGGACACUUGGUCUUUAUCACCCUAUAAUGAUCAAGUUAUUGUCGUAAAGAUUUCAAUUGAUUAGCAUACUCAGUAACAGUUUUAUCUCCCUGUUUAGCAGCAACAAUUUUCACCUUGAUCUCGUAUGCUUGGGUCGCAUUUCUCGCCUUAGAGUACGUUUGUUGGAUCGCAUCCCAAAUGUCUUUGGCAGUAGCUAGGAACAUGCAUGUGUCACUGAUUUUAGGAAUCAUAGAAUUCCACAGCCAUGCCAUAAUCAUGGAGUCUUCUUCAUCCCAUGUUUCAAAAUGAGGAUCUCCUAGUUUCGGCCCUGUACCCAUAAGAUGGCUGAUCUUCCUUUUCCCUUUCAACACGGUGCGAACAAGUUAGGACCAUUUCAGAUAAUUUUUUCCAUUUAGCCUAUAUGUAGUCUGGAUAUUCUACAAUUCUCCGGAAUGUUGGGGUCGAAUAAUCUCCUCUGAUUGGGCUGUAGCGGUUGUUUAUGCAAUCUCUGACAUUUUUUUACAAAAAAAAAACGGCAAUUUCUAGGUGAUUCAAGCAAAGCACGUAGGUCAACAAUAGACAGUGUUGAAGGUCAAGAGAUCAGAUUGACAAUGAAGGCAAAAAAAACAAAUGAAUGGCAAUGAAGGCUAAGAAGAAAAUGAAAAUUCCAAGAGAUGAAACAAAUGCUCGGUUUUGAGUUUCAAAAACAGAAGAAAAAUAGGGCACUGUAUUCAACAAUGAAGGCCAAAACAAAAUAAAUUCCAAGGAUCCUAAUUUAGCUCUGAUACCAUGUCGUAAAUUGAGAGAGCAGAAUUAUGGAAUAAUUUUAUUUUCAUUCAUAUUAGAAAACUACAUUUGGUGUUAGCUUUAUACAGAAAAAUCCUAGCUAUAGAAAAGGAAACUAAUUACUAGGCUAUAUCAAAUCCCAUGAUUUAUGGGAUAUUCUAACAAAAUAGGAAACUAACUAAAUUAACCUAAUUCUAGGAAUUCUGGCUGUUACAAACAAACUCUCCUAAACUAGCAUAAUUACUAUACACAGCAAAAUACAAGCCAUUAAUUUUCAACCAUAAUUCAUGUUUUCCCAUAGUAACCAACACCUAUAGCACACUAAUAAGGUGCAAAAUGACUUAAAGUGCUUAAUUAGUGGCAUAGUCAAACUUAACCAAACAAUAUGAACAAUAUGCUAUAAAAAUCAUUCAACUAGAGAGAAAAAGGUCUGUUGAAUUUGAAACUUUACUCAUUCUCAAUCAAAAGUUGUGGACUAAUAGGGAUGACAUUAUGUUGAGCUUAUAUGAGCACAUGAAUUGUGAAGUUGUAGUAAGUUUGUCAGUCUUUUGUCGAAAUUAUACAAAGUGCAACUUGUGAGCCAUGGAUUGAUGGGGAUGAUGAUAUAUCAAGCUUAUAUGAGAGAGUGAGUUGUAAAAUUGUUCACAGUAAAUAAUAUCUACGAAAAGCCAAAUACUUUCUAAGUCGAAUAUUAGGUAAUGAGGAAUGUCAUUAUACUGGGCUUCGUAUAAACAAUGAUUAAAAUGUUAGGAAUUAAGGUUUGAAAGAAAAUAUUGCAUGGAUAAUCUAUGAUGUGGAAAGGCGACAAAAAAAUCACAGAUUAAUCCACAUUUUAUGGACAAUAAAUCCAGAAAAAAAAAAAAAGUCAAAUGAUUGAGCCUAUGUAGGGGUAAAAAAGUGAUGCUAAAUCAAUGAAAUAUUGGCAAUUUUUUUUUGCCCUUUUCUCCAAAAAAAUAAAAAAUAAAAAAAUAAAAAAGGGCUAAAGGUAAUAUUCCUGCAUUCAAGGGCCAAAUUUCCUUUAUAUGUGAUCCAACCGUCAUAAACAAUUCCCAAUUGCUAUUUCUAUGAUCUAACAACUAGAUUUCAAUAUGGAUGUGAUUCAAUGGUAAAAAUUUUGUAACUGCUAACCAACUUUCCAAUGACCCAUUUUGGCCUUUUUUUUUUUUUGUUAACUAUAAGUACCUCAUUUUCAUCCUAUUAUAUAUCAAAAAUUCACUUGCAAUCCUUAAUGCUUUCAUACUACUCUAAUUUGUUUUUAUUUUAUAUUUUUAUUUUAUGUGAUUCCUCUUAAAAUUUAAUUUUUAUAAUUUUUUAUGAUCCUUAAAUGUAUAUAUAAAAAAAAUUAUUUAUUUCACAUUUGUAUUGAAUGCAUAUUUUCAAAAUUGUUAUAUAUAUAUAUAUAUAUAUAUAUAUCAUUUUCUAAGUUUUUAUUUAUAUUUCUAUAAAUUUUGAUCAAUAUUCAUGUUAUUUAUAUUUUUAAUCUUAAUUUCUAUCCGAUAUUCUCCAUAUUUCUUGAUAAUAUCUAACUAUUAAAACUAUGAACUUUUAUAUAUAUAUGAACUUAUGUAUAUAUAUGAUUUUCAAAGUUUUUUUUUGACAUUUCUAUAAAUUUUGAUCAAUAUUCGUGUAAUUUAUAUUUAUAAUCUUAAUUUCUAUCCUAUAUUCUCCAUAUUUCUUGAUAAUAUCUAACUAUUAAAACUAUGAACUUUUAUAUAUAUAUGAUUUUCAAAGUUUUUUUUACAUUUCUAUAAAUUUUGAUCAAUAUUCGUGUUAUUUAUAUUUUUAUUCUUAAUUUCUAUCUAAUAUUCUUCAUAUUUCUUGAUAAUAUCUAACUAUUAAAACUAUGAACUUAUAAAAGAAUUUAAUACUUUAAAUCUCUAUUUAAAGUUAAAGCAAAAAAAAAAUUAAAAAAAUUAAAAUAAAAUCUUGAAAAAGUUUCUAAAUAUCAAUUUUAUUUUGAUUGUGUGGUGAGGUGUUGUUGUCUUGGUUGAGAGAGGGUUAAUUAUUAUGACUGUCGUUGCUAUCCAAUUAAUAAAAUUCCUUUAAGGGCAUUAACCUCAAUGUUAAUGUCUUUUUUUCCCUUUUAAAUGAAUAUCAACAACAAUUUUUCCAUAAAUAAGGCGGUGGCCUUUCUCUGGAGUAUUGAAAGUGUGAGCCAACCAUUUAAGCACAUCAAAUUUCCCAUAAAGAUGGUGCUCUCUGUUCAAAAUGUGACCCCACCUUUCAACAUUGGCAGUCCAUAAUGCAUUCCCCUUUUAGGGUGGUGGGUUUGGAAACCUUGUCAUCUCUCUCAAUCUACCAACCUAUACAAACAAGUUAUUGCUCUAUAAUUCAUACAUGAGACAAUUAUGUAGAUAAAUAUGAUAAUCGCCUAACGUAACGCACACAAAAUGUGUAAAGGAUACGAUUUUUUUAUAAUGCCAAAAUACGUAAAGAAUAAGAAAAUGAUAUAAAAUGAAUUUAUAUUGUAUCAUUUAUAAUAUACCUUACUUUUUUUUUUUCUUUGGGCUUAUAAUUUUCUUAGGGAUUUAUUUUUUAAAAUGAUAAAAAUAAAUAAAUUAAACCCGUAGAAAGUAAAAUCUUAAUUUGAAAAAUUCAUUUAAUAUAUAACUAUAAAUUAUUUUUAAAUGAUUUCAACAUGAUUUAUAAAAAUAGUAAAAAAAAAAAAGACAAUUAUUGCUCUCUUUCAAGGAUAAAAUUGCAGAUAUUUCAUCAUGUUGUCCCAUUUCAAGAAUAAAGAUAAAAGAAAUAAUUAAUUUUAAUUAUUAUACCAUUAUUUAAUAAUAAUUUAUCAUAUGAUUGAGUUUUUAUCCACCUAAAAAUAAAUUAAGACAAAUAUUAAGAAGGGGGGAAAAAAUAGGGAGGUUCGGCCAAUAAAGCCAGAAAUGGGACCCACGAGCCUGUGGUCGUGCUUCAAAGUUUAAUUAGAAAAAAGGACACAUGGCGAGCCCACAACUACAGAGACGGCUGUGUCCAAUGAUGUGAUCUGCCGUAUGGCCUCUCCUCUUCAAAAAGUAAAUACCCACAUUUGUAGAAUUUGAUGAACUGAAAAAAUUGGUAGAAACUCAACAAACAAAGGGUCUUAAUCAAAACACGUUUCAUUUAGUUGGAUUGGGCAUCUCAACUAAGCGUUACAUUUAUAUAAUAUAGUAUUGGGCUUUAUUUUCAAUGAUUAUGUAUAUGGGAUCCCACCGACACAAUUCUCUGGUAAUUGACAAGAAUAUACGGUUACUUAAACUUGGUAAGUUGCAGUUCAAACUAUGUCAUCAAUGAUAAAGAUUUGUUUGGACUCCCUUCAUUCAAUGGUCGCAGUGAGGGAUGCUACUGACUACCGAAUAAGUAAUAAAUAAUUAAUCAAUAAUUAAAUAGCAAACAAGGACUAUGAGGCUGAAAAUACUUGAAGGGGCAUGGUUGUAAAAGUCUUAGCCGAGUGGGAGAGAGAAAGAGAAGAGGCGGCUGGAGCCGAGUGGGAAGUGGGGGUGGCUAUUGGCUAACAAGUAGAGUGUCGGUGUCUGACCAUUGAAGAAAUGGCCUCAUUUCUACGCCAAGCCUUGCAUUGUUUCAUAUUUUAUUAUUUUAAGGAGGAGUGACGAGAGCGUUCCUCAAAACGGCGACGUUUCGCCCACCGGAAGAUCCUUUGUCGCUCUCACACUUCUUUCCUCAUUAACCAGACUUUGGCAUUUGGCAUAUGGGGUUGGGUUUCUUGGAAUAAACACACUCUGCUCUCGCCCACUCCCCACCCUCUGGUCGGUGGCUCGUUUUUUUUUUUUUUUUUUUUAAAUAAAAUAAAAUAAAAUGUGAUAAAUGCUAGUAAUCGGAGAAAUUGAUACUAUUUUUUUUUAUCGCAAACAUGCUUAUAUAUUACCAACAAUUAAAAAAAAAAUAAAAAUAGAGAGAGAGAAAGAGAGAGAGAGAGAGAAUAACUUUCUAGAAACAUCCACAAAAUUUUUUUUAAAAAAAUUAAAAAAUAACCGGUGAAAGGUUUGUUUGUGUGACUCAUUUUUACAUGCUUGGACAUUUCUUGAACUUAAUUUUUACACAAUGAUACAAUGAUACAUGGAUAUUUUGCCUUUAAAGCAAAGUUGCCCCAACUCCAUAUUUUGACCUACCACACCAACUUCAACAAUUAACAUCCAUCUGUGAAAUUUAGAGGUCUUUUGAAAAUAUCAUUUACAAUUGACUUUUUCUCCGGUUGCGGUAAUUUAUUAAUUCAAGUCUUGGUGCUGUUUGUUUUUUUUGUUUUUUGUUUUCUGAAUUUAGGUUAUUUAUUUUUCUAUUUUUUUUAUAAUUUAUUAUAAACUUUUUACUAAAUAGAAAAAGCUAAAAUAUGUAGUUUUUUUUUAAAUAGAAAAAAUAAUAUAUUGAUUUUUCUUUACUUUUUAAUACUUAAUAGAAAUAAAAUAUUAUAAAAACAAACAACCUAAUAUUUAAUAUUAUUAAAUAUUAAAGUUCUAUUUAAAAUUAAGUAAAAAAAAAAAACACCACCUAAUGUUUUACAUGAAUUUGUGAUUUUGUAACAUUAAAUUAGGAGUCGUGCUAAGAUGAUGUGGGUAUAAAUAAAUGGAGUUUAAUCCAAAAUACAAAUAAUAAAAAUCACACAAAUAUAUAUAUAUAUAUAUAUAUAUUUAUGAAAAAGUUAUUUUUUUUUAUGUUGUAAACAAAGAGGUCCGAGUAUUUACAUCAAGAAGACAAUUUCAAAUUUAAAAAGAAUAGUAAUUUUGAUAAUGAAAAUAAUAGGAAAAAAAACAACUUUUAGGGUGCCCAAAAUUAUAAUAAUUGAAAACACACUACUCACAACAUAAAGAGUUUUGGGUCAAAAUGACCCAUUUAUAUAAAAAAAAUAUCGGAUGUAACUACUUUAUGAAACUUAUAUUCAAAUUAAUCUCUUUUGUGCCACGUAGGAGUUGUCAUAGAAAUAUAUAUAUUUUUUUUCAAAAUUUUACUUAAAGCCUCAAUUGACAAUUGAUGCUUAAUUUUUGAAUUGAAAUUGCAGUUACCAACUGAGGUUUCAGUUUUUAAACUAAAACUGCAAUUGUCAUGUAACACCUAGUACUAAUGAAUUAAAUAGACCAUAAUGAUUAUCUUAGUACUUAACUUUAAGCAUGCUUAAUUAGAUGUUAAAACUAAUUUAGUGCUAAUCUUGUUUAAUUAUAAAUUAAACUUUGAUUAAGGUUAAGUGAGAUUAGUUAAUGACUUAAGCAUGUUUAUUAGAGUCUUAGGGGCUGAUUAGGGUUAUGAAAACUUAAAGGACUAAUGGGCAAUUAUGGGUUUUAUUUUUUAUAACUUGAAGGACUAAAGUGCAAAAUAUGGAAAUUGGGAGUUAGUGGAAUGCCACCUCCUACUUAGGUGGAUUGGUGGCAGCCAUGUGGGCUGCCACCUCAUGCUUGGCUGCAUGGAGACUCCUUUAUAAGGGGGCUGCAACUCGUUUUCCACCAUUUCACUUGCAGCAACUUGGGUUAGAGAGAGAAUCUAGAGAGAGAAAGUGUAGAUUUGAGGUAAGCAAGUUGUUAAUUUUGUAAUUUUCGUUUAUUUUGGUUCCUAAUGGUAUGUUGAAGAGAAUUAAGUGUAAAGUUUGUGUAAAAGUUUAGUUUAAUUAGCUAUAAAUAUGUUUUAGUUAAAAAUCACAAUUAAUUAAGGAUUAAAGUAUUUUAACUUAAGUAUUUUAUUAAUGGUAAGAUAAGCAUAAAUCUUUGUUUAAUUUGGUUUGAUUGAAAAAUAGAUUAGUAAACAUGUGAUUAAUUAGGUUAUUUGGAUACUUGGGAUUUGUUAAUGGGUUAGGCUUUAAGAAAAUCAAAAUAGUUAGUGUUUGGUAAUUAAUUAGGGAAAUUAAUAUGCAUUGUAAAUAUUGUUUAAUUCAAUUCAAAUUUGAUUUGAAAACCUAAAAGUAUAUAGAUUAGAGAAUAUGAGAAUUAAAAAUUAGCAACAGUAAACUGUAUAAAUUUUCAUGGUUAAGAAACCUAAAUUAUGUUGUUUUAUUUCAGUUCCUCGUAAUAGACAAAGAUCGCCUACGUAAAAGAAACACAAAAAGGAAAUUGGUGUAAGGUAGGGAAUUUUAUGCUAUUCUAUGGUGUAUCUGAUUUCUUUCCUUGAAUCAUUUGUUGGAAUUUCGCGUUAUUUUUAUGAUUUCAUAAAAUGUUUUAAUGUGUCAUUGCAUCUCAGUUUAUUGCAUUGAAAUGUUACUAUGAUAUUGGAACGUAUAUUGAUAUGAAGAUUCAUGGUUUUGUGUUGUUGAAAUGGUUCAUGGUGUGGUUGCAUUGCAAGAAGGAUAUGAAAUUAUCACAGAUGAUAUUAAGAGAAUUGAUUGGUGGGAAGUUUUUAUGUGAUGCCACAGGCAUUAUCAUUUGAUAUAUUGUUUAUGUGGGACCGUGGGUCCUUGGGUGAAAGUCCCUAAAGCCCUUGAGGAAGACACUCCGAUGUAGGUGUAUGGGGUUGGUCCUACCCUUGGGUUUUAGUCCCUAAAGACACAAGGUCGGUCCUGCCAUUGGGUAUGAGUCCCAAAAGACACGGGGUAUGACUUGCCCUUUGGUGAUGUCCUAGAAUAGUCAUUAUUAUAUUGAUCGAGUAUCUUGUGGAGCAUUGAUAUAUGAUGUAUAGAUUGUUGGGGGUCAGCAGUUUAUCAAUUGUGAAAUGAUGGAUGAGGAAAAGCAAAGAUGAAACCAACAAAUACAUGCAUACAUGUUUGACAUGAUUACACAUUUGUUAAUGGUUAUAAAAUGUUUAUCAUGCAUGCUAUGAAACGUUUAAUUCAAGGUUUUUAAGGGUAUGCUUAGGAUGGUUAUAAACUUUCCUACUGAGUUGUGAACUCACCCUAUUCCUUCCACCUUUAGAUGCACGUUAGAAGACCUAUGCACGAAAUAAUGCUUGAGCAAUGCUUUACUGUGAUUGGGUGUUGUUUGCUCGCAUUGAAAGUCUUUUGAGGCCUUGCCUUUUGUAUCAAGACUGAAUCUUUUUGUAGGAAUGAUGUAAUAUAUAUAUUUGUCAGGUACACUUGUAGUAUAGGCUACCCGUAGUGAACAAUGGGGUUUUGGUAUAUGUAAAUUAAUGUAGUAGAAGUUUCUUUUAAGAAACGAACCAUAUUUUGUUAACUACAAGUUACAAAGUUUAAUACAGGAUGUACUCCUUCUCCUUAUAACAAGUUUUGCAUACUCUUUUUGCACAAAAUCAAGCAGGAACUCAACAUUUAAAUUUUUUAGAGCAGUUAUACUGUAUUUGAGUAUCAAUUGUUUAGUUUGAAGAAUAACAAAAAAAAACAAAAAACCGGGGUGUGACAUGUCAAUUGAGAUUUCAUUUUUUUAAUUGAAGGCUUAAUUGGUAACUAAGUCUUCAUUUUUGAACUAAAGCCUUAAUUGUCAACUAAGGCUUAAGUUAUUAUAUAUUUUUUACUUUAAAAUUUAAUUAAAAACUAUUAAAUUAUAAUUUAUUAUUGAAAUUAAAAAUAUAUAAUUUAAUAAUAAAUUAUUUAUAUUUAAGCUUAAGAAUCUAAUAUUACUUCAACAAACAUAAAUUGAUAAAUAGAAGAUAUUAUAAAUCAAUAUUUUAUUUAUUAAUAAAUUAAUAAUAUUAAAAUAAUAAAUUUAUAUAACAUAUAAAUAAGAUAUAAAAUUAUAUAAUUUAUUAAUUUAAGAUAUUUAAUUUGUUGUUUUUAAAAUAUUAUUUUAUUUAUAUUAUGACAAAUGUAUUUUUAUCGAAAUAAUAGUAUACUCCUAAGUCACAAUUGCCAAUUGAGGCUUCAAUUAAUAUAUAUAUAUAUAUAUAUAUAUAUAUAUAUAUUUACUUUCAAAUUUAAUUAAAAACUAUUAGAUUACAACUUAUUAUUGAAAUUAAAAAUCUAGUAUUACUUCAAUAAACAUAAAUUGAUAAAUAUAAUACAAUAAAUUAAUAAUCUUAAAAUAAUAAAAUUAUAUGACAUACAAACAAGCCAUAAAAUUUUAUAAUUUAUUAAUUUAAGAUAUUUAAUUUGUUGUUUUUUAAGAUAUUAAUUUAUUUAUAUUAUGACAAAUUUAUCUUUAUCGAAAUAAUAGUAUACUCUUAAGUUUCCAUACAUAGAUUUUUUUGACUAAAUUAGUUAAUGAAAUUAAUUAGAAAAAGUCUACUUCAAAAUAUAAUUUUUAGUAGUUUCAUCAAAGUCACAAAAAAUACCUACUAAACAUUUAUAUGUUGGAUAUAUAUAUAUAUAUAUAUAUAUAUAUAUAUAUAUAUAUAUAUAUAUAUAUAUAUAUAUAUAUAUAUAUAUAUAUNNNNNNNNNNNNNNNNNNNNNNNNNNNNNNNNNNNNNNNNNNNNNNNNNNNNNNNNNNNNNNNNNNNNNNNNNNNNNNNNNNNNNNNNNNNNNNNNNNNNAUAUAUAUAUAUAUAUAUAUAUAUAUAUAUAUAUAUAUAUAUAUAUAUAUAUAUAUAUAUAUAUAUAUAUAUAUUGUGUAAAAUUAUAAAGUGAAAGGGGAAGAAAACAAGAGAAAUCAGAAUGUAGGAAGAGAAUAAAAUGCAUGGGAAAACUCUAUAUUAAAUUUCAUUAGGGGUCUCUCCCUUUUAUAGGGAAUUACAAGAUAUAUUUAUGGAUGAUCAUCCACAAGUUACCAUAGUGGUACAAAAUCUCAUAUUUUAUAACACUCCCCCUUGGAUGAUCAUAAGAAUAUGCCUUAUUAAAACCUUACUAGGAAAAACCCUAGUGAAGGAAAAAGAGUACAAUAUUCUUUUGAAUUACUAUAACUGUCUCGUUAAAAACCUUGCUAGUAAAACCCAAUGGGACAAAACCCAGAUGAAGGAAAAAAGAGUGCAGUAUAUCCAUAUUAUCAUUCUCCCCCUCAUGUAAACAUGAUUAUGAUUUCUUCAACGUUUCAAAUGGUAGAUCUCUCAAUCUUCGCAUUCCAAUGUCAUACCUUAACUUUUUCAAUGUGGUUGAAGGUAACACCUUUGUGAAUAGAUCUGCUAGAUUAUUGCAUGACCGGAUUUGUUGAACAUCAAUCUCACAUUUCUUUUGGAGCUCGUGAGUAUAGAAGAAUUUACGGGAGAUAUGCUUAGUUCUGUCACCUUUUAUGAAUCCUCCUUUAAUUUGUGCAAUACAAGCAACAUUAUCUUCAUGUAACACAGUUACAUUGCCUCUAAUGGAAGGUAGUCCACAUGUUUCUUGUAUAUGUUGGAUCAUUGACCUUAGCCAUACACAUUCACGACUUGCUUCGUGAAUUGCAAGAAUUUUUGAGUGAUUUGAAGAUGUGGCUACCAUUGUUUGCUUGACUGAUCUCCAAGAUAUUGUCGUUCCACCAUAAGUAAAGACAUAUCCCAUUUGAGAUCGAGCUUUAUGAGGAUUUGAAAGAUAUCCUGGAUCUACAUACCCAAUCAAUUGUGAUUUUGAUUCUUUUAAAUAAUAUAAACCCAUGUCACUUGUUCCACGAAGGUAUUGCGAUAUAUGUUUAACCUCAUUCCAAUGCCUUUUAGUUGGGGCAGAACUGUAUCUUGCUAGUAAGUUGACAGAGAAUGCUAUGUUUGGUCUAGUACAAUUUGCAAGAUACAUUAGUGCACCGAUUGCACUGAGAUAUGGUACUUUUGGACCAAACAAUUCUUCAUUUUCUUCUUUAGGACGAAAUGGGUCUUUGUUCACUUCAAGUGAACGAACAACCAUAGGGUAAUUGACUGGAUGUGAUUUGUCCAUAUAAAAUCGUUUUAAUACUUUCUCUAUAUAUGUCGAUUAAUGGACUAAUAUGUCAUUUGAACAAUGCUCGAUCUGCAGGUCGAGGCAAUAUCUUGUUUUCCCCAAGUCUUUCAUUUCAAAUUCCUUCUUUAAAUAAUUGGUUGCUUUUGUGAGCUCUUCAGGAGUUCAUAUAAGGUUUAAAUCAUCCACAUACACUGUAAUUAUUGUAAGCCCAAAUUUUGAUUUCUUGAUAAAAACAUAUGGGCAAAUUGAAUUAUUCACAUAUCCUUCUUUUAACAAAUACUCACUCAAAUGAUUAUACCACAUACGUCCAGAUUGCUUUAAUCCAUACAAAAACCUUUGUAGUUUGAUUGAGUACAUGUUUCGAGGCUUUGGAUUAGUUGCUUCAGGCAAUUUGAAUCCUUCAGGGAUUUUCAUAUGUCAGUAUCUAUAAACCCAUAUAAAUAGGUUGUAACAACAUCUAUAAGACACAUAUCUAGUCCUUUAGAGAUUGUUAAACUUAUCAAGUAUUGAAAUAUGAUUGCAUCCAUUACAGGGGAAUAAGUUUCCUCAUAGUCUAUGUCAGGUCUUUGAGAGAAACCUUGAGCAACAAGUUGUACUAUAUAUCUUAUGAUUUCAUCAUUCUUAUUUUGUUUUUUCACAAAGACCCAUUUAUAUCCAACAGGCUUUAUGUUUCCAGGUGUUUGAACUACAGGUCCAAAUACCUCUCGUUUUGUUAACGAGUUUAGCUCUGUUUGGAUUGAUUCUUUCCAUUUUGGCCAAUCAUUCAUUUUUCGACAUUCAUUCACAGUUUGUGGUUCUUGAUAUUCAUCAUUUCUCAUGAUGUCCAUAGCCACUUGGAAUGCGAAUAUAUUAUCUAUGAUAAUGUCACUAUAGUCCUUUGUUUCUCUCGUGUGACUCAUUAAGAUCUUUUUAGUUCUAGAUACCGAUAUUUGAUCAAUUUGUGCCUCUUCAGGAGCUAAUUGUUUGUCAAGUUGGAUUUCACCAUUUGACCUUUUCAUGUUUGUGAACUCUUCAAGAGUACUAAGUUUUUCAUAUGUUGUACCUUUUUUUUUUCUAGGAAUUAAAUCCUUUGAGCUAAUAGGUCUACCACGCUUCAGGCGUGUCUUAUAUUCAUUUGUUAUGGCAUUCUCCAAUUGUCCUUCAGGGACAUCAAUAUGUGCUGGGACGUUCACAACUGGCACAUGUGACUUUGUUACUUUCUUUAUAUCUAUGAAAGCAUAAGGUUAUUGAUUUGCAAGUCCUUGCAAAUGAACAAUCCUUUCAACUUCUAACUCACAUUGUCUUGUGCAAGGAUCAAGAUGAGACAAGGAGGGUACAUACCAUGUAAUAUCUCACCAUUCUUUUGACUUGUCUCCCCCUAAUGGCGGGAAAACAUUUUCAUCAAAAUGACAAUCUGUAAAGCGGGCAGUAAAAACAUCACUUGUGACAGGUUCAAGAUAACGAAUAAUGGAGGGAGAAUUAAAACCAACAUAUAUACCAAGUCGACGUUGAGGUCCUAACUUGGAGCUUUGAGGUGGAGCUAUGGGAACAUAGACAACACAACCAAAAAUUCGAAAGUGUGAAACAUUUAGUUGGGAGCCUAAAGCAAGUUGUAAAGGUGAGCAAUCAUGAUUAGUUGUAGGGCGAAUUAGAAUUAAAGUGGCAGCAUGAAGAAUAGCAUGCCCCCAAGCAGACAAGGACAAUUUUGUUCUUAAGAGUAAUGGUCUUGCAAUCAGUUGCAAAUGCUUAAUUAUAGAUUCAGCUAAUCCAUUUUGAGUAUGGGUAUGAGCAACAAGAUAUUCAACAUUAAUACCAACCGACAUACAAUAAUCAAGAAAUGUUUGAGAAGAAAAUUCACCAGCAUUAUCAAGACAAAUUUUCUUAAUAGAAUGAUCAAGGAAUUGUGCCUUGAGUUGAAUUAUUUGAGCAAGUAACCUGGCGAAGGCAAUAUUUCUAGUUGAAAGAAGACAAACAUGAGACCAACAAGUUGAUGCAUAAAUUAAAACCAUAAAAUAACGAAAAGGUCCACUAGGCGGAUGAAUAGGUCCACAAAUAUCACCUUGAAUACUUUCUAAAAAGGCUGGUGAUUCAUAUUCAACCUUGAUAAAUGAUGGUUUAAUAAUUAAUUUUCCUUGUGAGCAAGCAACACAAUUGUAAUCAUUGGGCAUCAGAAUCUUCUGGUUUUUUAAGGGAUGCCAUAAAGAAUUGUUGAUGAUACGACGCAUCAUGGAUAAUCUUGGAUGACCAAGACGUUCAUGCCAUAUCAUAAAAUUUUUUAAGUCAUAGAACUUCUGGUUCAUGACAGCAUAUGACUCAAUGGGUUUAAUGAUUGUUUGAUAUAACUCACAAGAAUAAGAAGGAAGCUUUUCCAAGAUAUGUUUUCCCCCAUAAAUAAUUGAAGUAAUGAGAAGGUAUUCAUUACUAUCAUCAUUCAUAGUUUCAAUGUGAUAUCCAUUUUGGCGAAUAUCCUUGAAACUAAGAAGAUUUCGCUUGGAUUUAGCAUAAUAAAGGGCAUCAUUAAUGUGGAUUUUAGUUUCUCUGGGUAAAAUAAUAGUUGCUCUUCCAGAGCCUUGAAUCAAGUCUACAGGACCUGAUAUUGUAUUAACAUUAGACUUUCCCAUCGAUAUGUUGGAAAAAUAUUUUUUAUCACAAAGGAUUGUGUGUGUUGUGGCACAAUCUGCAAGACAUGCAUCUACAUUGGAUGUCGUAUGAUGUACCAAGGUAUGAGAAAGAUCCAUGUAUCUUCAAGUAUAAAUAAAGAGAAGAAUUUAAGUAAAAUGUGGAAUAAACUAUAAAAGGUAAAUAAUAAACAAUGUGUUCAAAGAAGAUACCAAAAUAAACCUAUUUGCAAAGAACUAAAUAAAAACAUAACGUUUAAUCAUAAUAAACAUUUCCAUCACCAAUUAGAUGGUCAAUUUUCCCAUUAGGAUUCUCAAAGAAAUCUGAAACAUCUAAAUGGGUUAGAUCCACUUGGCCAUUACUAUUAAUGAAGUUCAUUUCAACUUCCUUUCCUUUUACUUUUAUUAAGGCUUGAUAAAGGUCAACAAAAUGUUUUGAAGUAUGACAAGUACAUGACCAAUGUCUUUUCAUGCCACAUCUAUGACACUUAUUCUCACAAACAAGUUUACUUUGUGGUUUUAUCCCCUUUUCAGGUUAUGCCUCUGAAUUAUUCCACUUUUGGUGGUUUGAGUUGUUUUUUUUUACUUUGAGAACCACUAUGAUGAGAAGAAUUGUGUUUACCAUGACCUCGACUGCGACCACGUCCUCGACCUCGUCUAUAUCCACAUCCUUGUCCAUGUCUAAGGGUUUGAACAGAUGUGGCAUUGGCUUCAGGCAAUGACAAAAACCGAGUAGGACGAGAUUGAUGGUUUUUCAAUAAUAGCUCAUUAUUUUGUUCAACCACCAGAAGACAUGAGAUCAAUUCUAAAUAUUUAGUGAAACGACGUUCUCGAUAUUGUUGUUGUAGGAGCACAUUCGAGGCAUGAAAAGUCGUGAAUGUUUUUUCAAGCAUAUCUUCUUCAAUGACCUUUUCUCCACACAAUUUUAAUCGUAAGCUAAUUUUGAGUAGGGCCGAGUUGUAGUCACAAACAGACUUGAAAUCUUGUAAUCUCAAGUGCAUCCAAUCAUAGCGUGCCUUUGGAGAGGAUUACGGUAUUUUGGUGGUCAUACCGUUCCCUUAGAUUAUUCCAAAGGAUGAAAGGAUCUUUAACCAUAAGGUAUUCACCUUUUAAUCCUUCAUCAAUGUGAUGGCGAAGGAAUAUCAAAGCUCUGGCGCGAUCUUGUAGGGAUGCGUCAUUUCCUUCUUUAAUGGUAUUUCCAAGAUUGAUCGCAUCUAGAUGAAUUUCAGCAUCUAGAACCCAAGAUAAGUAGUUCUUGCCCGAAAUAUCGAGGGCAACAAAUUCAAGCUUUGCAAGGUUUGACAUUAUUUGAAAGCUAUAUAUAAUAUUAAUCAGAGAAAUAUUUCAAUUAUAAUAAACUAAAAAUGCUUUAACAAUAUUUCAAGUAAACAAUAUCUAAAAAUAUAAUGACCUAAAAUUUAUAAAUAUGGUAAAAAUGUAGAAAUAUGAAAUAAGAAUUAAAAUUUAAUAUAUAUACAUACAUAUAUUUUUUUUCAUAGCUUCGGGCUAUGAGCUUUCAUUAUGUAAAUUUGUAUAUAGCUUUAGGCUAUGAACAUUUGUUUAUUUUAUAGCUUCUGGCUAUAUAAUAUUGUUUGGUACAACAUCGAGUUAUACCGUAUAAUUAAAAAUAAAUAAUUGGGGAUCAUAUACAUAACUUUUGGUCAUGUAUUUGUAAUUUUGUAAUUUUUCCCCUGUAACUUCUGGUUAUAGGAAUUGCACAUAGUUUUCAUAACUUAUGGUUAUGAAUUUAUCCCAUAACUUCUGGUUAUAGGGAUUAUACAUAUUUUUCAUAACUUUUGGUUAUGAAUUUAUCUCAUAACUUCUGGUUAUAGGGAUGUAUAUACAUAUUUUUCAUAACUUCUGGUUAUGAAUUUAUCCCAUAACUUCUGGUUAUAGGGAUUAUACAUAUUUAUGUAUUCAAAUAAAAUAAAUGAAAUAGAUAUCAAAGAGUAAUAAAAUAUAAAAUCAUGAUAUAAGUUUAUCACAUACCUUUUGUGAUAAAGAAGAGAGAAGAGUCUUUCUAUUUCUUUGAAAAUGAAAACGUCUUUCUAUUUCUCUAAAUAGAGAAAAAUAUUUUUAUUUCUUUUGUAGAGCCUAGUCGUGCUAAUAACGUGUUAUAAAAUUAUAAAGUGAAAGUGGAAGAAAACAAGAGAAAUCAGAAUGUAGGAAGAGAAUAGAAUGUAUGAGAAAACUCUAUAUUAAAUUUCAUUAGGGGUCUCUCUCUUUUAUAGGGAGUUACAAGAGAUAUUUAUGGAUGAUUAUCCACAAGUUACCAUAGUGGUACAAAAUCUCAUAUUUUAUAACACACACACACACACACACACACACACACACACAUAUAUAUAUAUAUAUAUAUAUAUAUAUAUAUAUCUAAUCUCAUAUGCCUCCACAAGAAGAGAACCUAUGGAUAAAUUUAACAUAAUACAAAUAAAUUAAAAUCUUAAAAAAACCACAAAUUAAAUAUCUUCAAUUAAUAAAUUAUACAAUUUUAUAUUUUAUUUAUAUGUUAUAUAAAUUUAUUAUUUUAAGAUUAUUACUUUAUUAAUAAAUAAAAUAUUCAUUUAUAAUAUCUUUUAUCUAUCAAUUUAUGUUUGUUGAAGUAAUACUAGAUUCUUAAGCUUAAAUAUAAAUAAUUUAUUAUUAAAAUAUAUUUUUUAAUUUUAAUAAUAAAUUAUAAUAUAAUAGUUUUUAAUUAAAUUUUAAGGUAAAAAAUAAAUAAAUAACUGAAACCUCAAUUAGCAAUUGAGGUUUUAGUUCAAAAAUGAAGUCUCAGUUGUCAAUUGAGACUUUAGUUAAAAAAAAUGAAGCCUCAAUUGAUAACUGCGGCUUUAGUUCAAAAACUAAAGCAUCAGUUGGUAACUGCGACUUCAGUUAAAAAAUGAAGCCUUAGUUGCCAAUUGAGGCUUUAACUAAAAUUAUAUAUAUAUAUAUAUAUAUAUAUAUAUAUAUAUAUAUUUCUAUGACAUGGCUUUUAGGUAACACCAAAGAGGCCAAUUUGAACAUAAGUUUCAUAAAAGGGUUAGAUCUAAUAUUUUUUUGUAUGCAUGAGCCAUUUUGACCUAAAACUCCAACAUAAACAUAUUCUCAGCACAUUCUCACAUUGUCCCAUACAACAAAUUGUUUCUUCAUCAUUGUAUCUGUAUGGUAACUUAAGAAAUAAUGAGUUUGAAAAAUAACAAUUUUAAAAGAAUCUAAGGAUAAUUAUUAUUAAGGGAUAAAAAUUAAUAUAAAGGGGUUAAAUCUUAUAUAAUUAGUUGUGGACUUGCGUUUUUCACAUGUGUCCUCAAAAUGAUGACUUCAAAAGGUGGGGAAAAAGGCCCCCCUCCCAAAGGCAAAAAAUUUCCAUUUAAGAGAGAAAAAUGAUGGUUAGGAUGAGGACACGUGUCCUCAUCCCAACCAAGUUGGCCAAAAAAGCUUCAAAGCUCUUAAAAAACACACUCUAAACAAACACAAUCCUAAAGCCUCCAAUAAUCAUGUUCAGACCCAAAAUAAUCCCCUAAUAAUCUCUAGAAUGUAGCUCAAAAAUCAAUAGUGAGCUAAGUAGAUGCGGACCAAUAAAAAGUGAUGAAAAUGUGAGCAAAUAAAAUAAAAAAUGAGUGUUAGGGACAAAAUAGAGGGCCUACAAAUAUGCCCUUCUUCGAUGUAGAUCACAAGUGUAAUGAACACGAACAAUGAAACGUGAGUGAUUAAUGGAAUGAAGUGAACUGCAUCGAAGAACAAAAAGACCUGGAAUUUGGUCCUAGCACACAACAUGAUAAACUCUAAGAUCAGAGUCACAUACUGGGGUGGACGAACUUUGGAUGAGGAGGACAAAGCAUGAUAAUGACUAUGAAAUGAAAAACACUAGACUAUGAUGCAAUGAACAACGUAGGACUGUGAAUGUGAUGAACAACUCAUGGAUGUGGGUACUAAAUUCCCAAAGGUUGGCCAAAAGAGAGAACGCGAUACAUUAACUCUAGGUCAAACCACUCACGGAUGUCUAAAGAUGAUGAACAACUCAAGGUUGUAAUGAAAUGAACAACACUGGGCUGUAAUGAAAUGAAUAACACUGGGCUAUAAUGAAUUGAAUGGUUCAGGGUUGUAGAUGCAAUAAACAAUAUUGGUUGUAAUAAAAUGAAAAACCUCAAGAAUAGAGGUGUUGUAUGCCCAAAAUGGGAUAUCACGGUCUGUGACUCCAAGUCAAACCACUUAAGGGUGACUAAGAUAAGGGUAAUCAACUCACUAAAAAAAAUGAUCUAACUAACUCAAAGAUGGGGAUAUGCCCUAGAUGAAACUCAAGGGAAAAUGAUAACUACAAAUGAAACUAAAAUGAUAACAAACUCAGAACUAAGAUGUAAUGAACAACUCUACGCUAUAAUGAAAUGAACAGCUCAGAGCUGUGGAUGCAAUGAACAACUCAAGAAUAAGGGUAUUGUCUGCCCAAAUGGGAGAUCGCGAUUUGUGACAGCAAGUCAAAUCACUAAAAGGUGGCUAAGAUAAAGAAAAAAUUAAGUCACUAUCAAGGAUGAUCGAAAUGGCUCAAGGAUGAAGGUAUGCCCCAAAUGAAACUUAAUGAUAAAAUGAUGACACAAAUGAAACUAAAACGAGAGGAUGCCACAAAUGAAACUGAAAUGAUAAAAAACUUAAAACUAAGAUGUAAUGAACAACUCUAGGCUGUGGAUGCAAUGAACAACACCAGAUUAUGAUGUAAUGAGAUAAAUAACUUCAAGAGGUGGGCAUUGUACGCCUAAAAAAAAAAUCACGGUUUACAACUCUAAGUUAAACCAUUAAAGGGUGACUAAGAUAAUCAUGAUCAACUCACUAAAAGGAAAAUGUAACUAUCUCGAGGAAGAGGUAUGCCCUAGAUGAAACUCAACGGUAAGAGGAUGAUCUGAAUGAAACUAAAAUGAGAGGAUGCCAUAAAUGAAAUUGAAAUGAUAAAAAGAUAAAAACUAAGAUGCAAUGAACAACUCUAGGUUGUGGAUGCAAUGAACAACACAGGGCUAUGAUGUAAUGAGAUAAAUAACUCCAAGAGGUGGGCACUGUACGCUUAAAAAAAAAAAAAAGAUUGCGGUCUACAACUCCAAGUUAAACCACUAAAAGGUGACUAAGAUCACGAUGAUCAACUCACUAAAAAGGAAAAUGCAACUAACUUGAGGAAGGGGUAUGCCCCAGAUGAAACUCAACGGUAAGAGGAUGAUCUCAAUGAAACUAAAACGAGAUGAUGUCAUAAAUGAAACUGAAGCGAUAACGAACUUAGAACUAAGAUAAAAUGAAUAGCUUUUGCCUUUGGAUGCAAUGAAAAACACUAGACUAUAAUGAAAUGACAAACUCCAAAAGGAAAAUGCAACUAUCUUGAGGAAGGGGUAUGCCCUAGAUGAAACUCAACGGUAAGAGGAUGAUCUCAAUGAAACUAAAACGAGAUGAUGCCAUAAAUGAAACUGAAGCGAUAACGAACUUAGAACUAAGAUAAAAUGAAUAGCUUUUACCUUUGGAUGCAAUGAACAACAAUAAACUAUAAUGAAAUGACAAACUCCAAAAGGAAAAUGCAACUAUCUUGAGGAAGGGGUAUGCCCCAGAUGAAACUGAACGGUAAGAGGAUGGUCUUAAUGAAGCUAAAAUGAGAUGAUGCCAUAAAUGAAAUUGAAGUGAUAAAAAACUCAAAACUAAGAUAAAGUGAAUAGCUUUUGGCUUUGGAUGCUAUUAACAACACUAGACUGUAAUGAAAUGACAAACUCCAAAAUGUGGGCAUUGUACGCCCAAAGAGGGAGAUCGUGAUCUGUGAUUCCAAGUCAAAUCGCCAAAGGGUGACCAAGAUAAAAGUUAUUAGCUCAUUGAAAAGAAGAUCUAAGUAACCUGAGAAAGGGAGUAUGCCCUAAAUAAAAUUCAAAAGAAAAUGUGCCACAAAUGAAACUAAAAUGAUAACAAACUCAAAACUAAGAUGGAAUGAAUAGCUCUGGGCUAUGGAUGCAAUGAACAACAUCGAGCUAUAAUGAAAUGAAUAACUCUAAGAUGCAAGCACUAUACGCCUAAAAAAUGAUAUCGCAGUCUACGACUCCAAGUUAAACCACUAAAGGGUGACUAAGAUCAAGAAAAGAUCAAGUCACUAAUAGGGAGGAUCGAAAUGACUCAAGGAUGGGGGUAUGCCCCAAAUGAUGCUCAAGGAAAAAUGAUAAUCUAACAAACUAAAUGAAGAGGAAACAUGAGGUCUACAACCAAGAACACUUGAAACAAAAGUGAGAAUAUGAUAUGUAGCCAAAACCACUAAAAUGGACUCAGAAUGAAGGAAUGAUUGGGAUAAUGAACUCAAUGAAAAGGGAUACAUGCCCAAGAUGAUAACCCAUAAAGAUCAACAAAUGGAAUGAGUGGCCAAGUCAACAAAUAUCUGACAAUAUCAAUGAAGGGGAUAUGCCCUAGUAUGAUAACUCAUAGGGAUCAACAGACGGACCAAGCAUCCAUGAAGUCAACAAAAAGCUUGAUAAUCUCGAUGAAAGGGGUAUGCCCUAGUGUCAUAAGGAUCAAUCGUGUCUCCGAAUCUAUCUGACACAACACCUUGAUAUAAAUGUGCAAGCCGGUAGAGCCAACAGAAUGUCACACAAAUGCCACUGAAAUAUCUCUAUAUCACAAAUACCCAACUGCACAAUGACUAUGAGCCUAUGUCUGCUAUCAUAUGAAAAUAUCAAUCAUCAACAAGUCUAAAGUCUGCGUGUAUCAAAUAUGUAUAUGAUAACGAAUCCAAAACAUGACCCAAUACUAAAGAAAAUCACUAUAACUUAGAACUUUGUCAUAAAAGCAUGAACUGUACCAAAAUUUUGUCCAACACUCAAACUGUAACUGCUAACACAACAUAUGAGAUGCCCAUUUGAGAAAAAUAGGAUGUCAAUCAAAUACUCUGAUAAAGAUGACAUCAAACCGAACAUUCUAAUGAAAUAUUGAUAUACUGCCCAAAAAUAGUUGUUGAUUAGAAAAACUAAAUUGAUCCACUAUAUUGAAAAACAUAAACAUCAUCAUGCAACUAACUAGCUCAAAAUACUCCUUGAGGAACAAUGGUGAUUAGAGAUGACUCCGACUCAAUGAUAAUCCACUAAAAAAAAUCAAAAUGAUAAAUCUGUCAAUGUCCCAAGGAAAAUACUACAAAUCGAAUCUAAAAAAGACAAGCAAAAUGAUAGAAAGUCUAAUAAUAUCAUGAAUGGAAAUAUGUCUUUGAUGGAACCUAACUCAAUCUAAUGUGAAUUUGGUAACCUCGAAGUGAGGAAAUAUGCCCCAGUAUAUAGGAUCUGCCUACUACUCUAAGAACUAUCUCCAACUCAACAACAAUCCAAAUGGAUGAUCCAUCUCAAAAGUGUUUUACAUGAGGAACUUGAAAUGAUGAAAACUGUCAAUAAAUCCAAUAAUACCCCACUUAGGACUAUCUCCAUCUCAUCAACACAACUCCAUUGGGAAUCGUGGUGAUAUCAAGAAAGUAUGGGCAUGACUCACUAGCUCAAAAGAGGCUCUAUUAGGGAAUCAUGAUAAAAUUAGGCUAUCAAAUCAAUGAGAAAUCAACUAUCUCAACGAAAAGGGGGUAUGCCUUAGUGUAACAUCUAAUGCAUGGUAGAAUAGGAAUCUAGACAAUAUUGAAUCAUCCAUCAUCAAAUAUGUUAUCAACUAAUCAUCCAUACCCACAACUGAAUCAAAUCCAAACAUCAAAGAGACGUCUCUUAGAAGAAAAAACAUAAUGACAUCUAAAUAUCCACUGAACCUUAAACUCCUGCCCAAGUAGAGACUAUCAAAUAUGAUAUUUGAUCUCAUGGCUUAAGACAUAGGACAAAAUGUAGGCUAGGGUGAUAAGGCAAUAGAAAUGAAGGGAAAUUAAGGUCAAAUACCCGAUGAUCCAAACCUAUACCCUUGUGUAUAAAAAUGUAUAUGUAUAGAAAAUCUCAUGAAUCAUGGACUUGAGGGUGUAUAAAAAUGCAUAUGUAUAAAAUGAAUGAUGAUAAACUCAAAUCAAAACAUGGAGAAAAGCCACAUCAUCAAUGGAUGAGAUGAUGGAGAGAACAAUGACCCAAAGUCCCUAAAAGAAGGUACUCAUCUCUCAUACUUAGAAGGAUAUAGCAAAGUCAUCACAAUGAGGAGGGUCUCGGAAAGCUCACAUAUGAGUUCUCAUUAACGAAUAAACUCAAUGAAAUGACUCUUAAGUGUAUAUAUAUGCUCAAAGAGAAAAGUAUUAUGCUCAUACACACAAUGCGCUUAUUUUUUUUUUAAUAAUUUUUUUUUUCAUUUUUUUACAUAAUAAAUGCGCACACUCCGAAAAUGAACAAAUGAACUCCAGUGAGAAAACAUGAUGAAUGAAUACAUUCUUAAACAUUGAGGCAAUAUAAAAACUCUCUCUGAUAAGAUAACCUCUCAAGCUAAGGAUCUUUGAAUCAUUGUCCACAAAAUGGGUAAUGGAGGUGACAUGACUACUCUCCAUGCAAAGAAAUUUGAAGAAUCACCAUCCAGGAUGAAGAGAAUAUGAAGAUGAAUAACACAAACAAUAAGAUGUGAUGAAGUGCAGUGAUGUGAUGGUAACAAAUGAUGGUGAAAAUGUACCUAUAGGUGCAAGGCUCAUGAAACUUCUAAACAAAGCAUGCAUACACUAAAGGGCCCUUAUCCUGAUGUAGAAAUAUGAGUAAGACAAUAAGAAAUGAAAGACUAUAAUGCGCGUGUGUGGCUCAAUGGGCUAGCAAUGGUCUAUAUGUCAACAAGAGUGAUAAGGUAUAAAGCUAACCGAAAUGAAGACCAUCCAUUCUAUGACCACGAUCUCAAACAUGAUAUUUCUUUAGCCAAUCUACAUCGGUUAGGUCUAAGAAUUGAUUUCUAUCUAGAUAUGCCAAUCAUGUUGGCCCUUUUAGGGUCAACUUUCUAAUGACAUAGGGUCCAUCCCAACUGGGUAUGAAUGUCCCUCGAGGAUGUCCUAGAAUAGAUGAAUCUCAAUGACUAGUGAGGUGAGAUGAAUAGGAUAUGCAAGAAGAAAGUCAUCACGAGAGCCACACAAGUACUAAAAAACACUCAAAUCCAUAUGUAAAAAAAAAGUAGAAACAUCAUCAAAAUAGGAGACAAAAUCGAAUAACACAUCUAAUGAAAAUGUUGGGCCCACAAUUACCAUAACCGGGCUAGCAAUGCCCUCAAAUACAUCAUCAAAAUAAGAAAAAAAUAAAAAUAAAAUUAUAUCAACUCUGAAACAGGUAAAGUUGAAUCUCCUCUAAACUCUUGACGACGAAGAUCCUAAACAUAUAAAAAAAGGUGGAUCAUCUCUAGCUAAUCAGUGUUAACCAUCUAACUAACAUCUAAUGCAUCCAUCUCAAACUCAUCAUAAAGAACUACCUUGUCUAUCAUGUCUCUGGUCUAAAAAAAAACACUAACAUCUUCCAUGAGAUCCCUCAUCCAAUAUAAAAUGCUCUGACUCAGUAUCCUCUAAUCUCAUCAUCUAUACAUCGUCAUCAUCAACAUGAUCAAUGGAAGGAAUACUAAUUGUAGAGGGUGGAACUACAUGAGUAGAAUGAGCAGUCAUAGGGUUGACGAUCAUGCCUAACUGAUCUAAACUAAUCAAACCUCGAUCAAUAACAUCCUGAAUGGCAUGUCAAAAAGUAGUGCACCAAUCUGUGUCAUGUCCCUGUCUCUAGUGGUAGGAACAACAUAGGUUCAUCCUAAAUUGUGGUGGGAUUGGUUGAAGAAGAGGCUUAGGCUCCAACGGAGUCAAUAAUCUAGCAUCUAUGAGCUUCCGAAGAGCCUAGCUCAAUGAAAUCCCUAAUUGAGAGAAGCAUUGUGAUAUCCUCGAGCAAAAUAAGUGCGAGUCUAUGGAGGUCUGGCUCUAGGAAUUGAGGUAGAAGGCCUCUUUAUGAACUAAGCAACAUAGCAUGUUUGUAGUAGAGUAGAAUAUGAGUAUGUCCACUCAAAAGGUCAAUGUGGAACUAGUUGUCUAUAUUGAUAUCGGGGGUAAGGAGAAUAUCCCUUGGUAGCAUGUAAGGCUAACUGGUGAUGUUUGAAAGUCCUCUGUUUGGUAGGAGAAAUAGUAAUGACAUCUUGCCUAUGCUCUCCUAAUGGAUUCUUCCCCUUAGAGUCAAUAGGGAAAGAAUCUGGCUAUAAUCCUCUCGUAAGACCAUCCUCUACACUAAAUAGGGCUAUGACCAAAGAUCCGAAAUCUGUAAAAGGUACUCCAAUCACAUGCCCGACAAUCCUGGGCUACAAUCUCCUCACAACCAUCUGUAUUUGCUCUCUCUCAAUAGGUCGGUUAAUAACUUGGACAAACUUCUCCCUCCAACGGGAUAUAAAAGAAGAAACUGAAUCAUAACCUCUGUCUUAAUGUGUCUAACUCCCUUCUCGAUACAUCUAUGCCAGUAUUAAAAGUGAACUGUCGUAUAAACUCUUGUGCUAAGUCCUCCCAAGUCUUGUGGAAUCUAAUGAUGCAUACUAACACUAAGUUACACCACUAAAAGAUAAUGGGAAUAAAACAAUCAACUUGGUCUCAUCCAAUCCAUAGGCCCUCAUAAUGAUGCUAUAGAGUCUGAGAUGGAUGCGAGGAUAGCCAAUGCCAGUAUAUUUGUUUAUCUCCGACAUCCUGAACUUGGCUAGUAAACUGGCCACUGGUAUCCCAUUAGAAUCAUCCUAAGCGACUGAACUAUCUGACACCCUAAUUUGCCUGAUUUGUUGUUUAGGACGAUCCAUGUGAGCAUGUACAUCCUCAGAGACUAUGGUUUGUGUUAUAAUGGGUGGAACAACCUCAGAUUGACCAUGUAGCAUGAAAGGUGAGGCUUGUGGCACUAAUGGUCCAGGAAGUGGGGGUGGGUUUAUACCCUAUUGACUAUUGAGCCUUUGACUGAGACUAUCUAUAACCUCCUGAACAGAAGCCACCGUGGUUGUGAACUGAUCAACUGUGAUGGACUACAUAUCCAUAUAUGUUUGAUCAAUGAUGUAAAAUAGUAUAUCGUCAACUCUAACUCAAGAUGGCAAACUAAAAAACGAAGAGCAAAUCCUAUAAAGCAUGGAGAAACGAGAUAAGACACGAUGCGAGAAAAACACAGAAGAGAUGCUAGACUAAACUAGAAGAAACAAAUCAACAAAAUGUAGAAGAAUGGUCCAACUAAAACUCAAGCUUGCACUGAUCUUUAAGCACUCUCUACUAGAGACCAAAUGAGGGAGUACUAGGUCCAAAGUUGUGACUAAAACGAUCCCAAAUGCUCUUAGAUGCAUCCACGUGUAAGAGAUGAAAUCCUGAUAAAAUGAUCUAAGGCUCAACCUAUAAAGUUAAGGUGACUCUAGAAGGGAAAUGGUGGACUUUAAAAGACCCUUAGCAGAGGCGAUCAUACUUUCCAAUGGUACACAACCCUUUGCGUCUCCGAAGAUACGAGACUCUUCCAUGCAAGGUGGUCAUCACCUCCACACAUGCACUACCUCGACAUUCUAGGGGAUUUCCUAUGGUGAAAGCUUUUGCAACUCUCAGCACUCAAUAGUCAACUAAAGUGCACAAUGAGUGGUGUGGGUGCAUUCAAAAAUCCUAUGAAGCUAAAGCAAAAAAUGAAACACAUUGGUCACAUAGAUAUCCAUGAAACCUAACUUUAAGCUAUACAGGUCUUUAAAGAUUGAACUUCAAUCAACAUCAAUAUGUCAACCUUCUCUAGAAUGCUCCCAAACAUCGAUAUAGCCCAUCGCUAAACCCUACUCCUAACCACUAGCUCGGUCGGAGAAACAAACACACACAAGGCCUUACAUAUGAAAAUGCGAGAACCAAAAGAAAUGAAAUGACCAAAACUAGAGGGUCGAAAAUAAGGGUAUAGAUAUGUGACCUACAUAGACAAGCAACACAUUCAAAAAUCUUUUGCAACUAGACAACCUCGACAUCCCAGGGGAUUUCUUAUGGUGAAAGCUUUUGCAACUCUCAGCACUCAAUAGUCAACUAAAGUGCACAAUGAGUGGUGUGGGUGCAUUCAAAAAUCCUAUGAAGUUAAAGCAAAAAAUGAAACACACUGGUCACAUAAAUAUCCAUGAAACCUAACUCUAAGCUAUAUAGGUCUUUAAAGAUCGGACUCCAAUCAACAUCAAUAGGUCGAUCUCCUCUAGAAUGCUCCCAAACAUCGAUAUAGCCCAUCAUUAAACCCUACUCUUAUCCACUAGCUCGGUCGGAGAAACAAACACACACAAGGCCUUACAUAUGAAAAUGGGAGAACCAAAAGGAAGGAAAUGACUGAAACUAGAGGGUUAGAAAUAAGGGGAUAGAUAUGUGACCUACAUAGACAAACAACGCAUGCAUCGCACAGGAGUAGAACAGUCAUGCAACAAGCAGUCACACAAAAAGUAGAUAUGUCAUACAGUCUACACUCAAGCUAAGCAAGGAAAAUGAUAAGCAAGAUGAGUAGCAAAAAAGACAACAUGCUCAAAGAUGAUCAAAAUAAUAUAUAAUAGAAAGAAUCAACACUAAGACAAACAAGAUAUACAACAAUGUGAACAUACAUGUCAAAGUGAGCAGGGUUCAUGGCUAGACCAGAAUCAAUAUACUAAGACAAGCAAAAUAAUAAAUCAAUAGCAUCAAUAUGUCAAUGUCCCAAAUGGAUAUAGCAAUCAAGCAUAGAAAAUUACCACAUCAAAACUCUCAAUGUGCUAUGAUUACUCAAGCAUAGAAAAACACAAAGAGAAGGUAUCCAUCAACUAACUAAUCGAAUGCCACAUUUGCCUUAACUUAAGUUCAAGCUUGACUCUCAUAAGAUCCCCAAUGAAGUCUCCAUUUUGUGGACCUCACAUUUUGCACGAUGCAUUCCUACUUGACGGUGAGACUCGUUUUUUUUAUUUGGUGAGAAUUUGAUUUUUAGAAAAAAAAAAAAAAAAAACUUGGAGUUGCCACUUAUUUUUGGUUUUUUUUGCUUUUUUUUAAAAGGAAAAAAAUAAGAAAAAAAACCUUGUGUGACUCUUUAUUUGGAAAAGACAUGUCUGCAAAAAAUCCGAGUUGGGUCAAGGUAUCAGGUUACUUAUUGGAAAAUUACAAUGAAAAACUGUAGCACCUCUCUAAGUCUUUAAAAACGGGUCUCUACUAAAUAAGGUGAGACAAGUGUGUCAAUUGAUAAGGAAAUCAAUGGAUACCAAGGAAUAAUCAUACAUUGAAAGCUAAUCAUGCCUAGAGAAUAAAUAAACAAAGUAGGAACGGGAUCAUACCUUAGUAGCAAAUAAUAAUGCGCUAUUAUGAAACGGAGUAAGUACAUAAUAAUGAAUACAAAAUACAUCUCAUGUGUCACAAAAUAGAGCAAAAACCAUCAAUGCCAAUUAUGCAUUUCACUCAAAUCAUUUUUAAAGAAAAUAUCAUGGAUGUUGGGCCCCUGCUAAAGCCUAAUUUAUUUUAGUAUGAAUUAAUCCCAUAAAUUCCUUUAUUUUGGAAUCAUGAAAAUUUAUUUAUUUUCAUUAAAAAAAAUGAGAAAAUCAGAAAAUUAUUUGAAAAUCAAAGAAAAAUUGUAAAAGUGCGUGCCAGAAGGAGAAUGGCAGCAAGCUUAUUAAAAUUAGGAUUUUUGGUAACCUAAAACCCUAAUGAAGGAUGAAAAGUUGAGGAAUCCAAACAAGAUUUUUGAAAAUCAAUUUUUGAAAGCAUGCAUGAAGAUGAGGAAAGAGAUGAAGCACGUAGGCUUUAAGAAUGGCCCACCAGAGGUGGCCAUGCAUGCCAUGCGAGAGAGAGAGAGAGAGAGAGAGAUAAUGGGUCCCAAAGGUAGAGAGAUGCUAGCAGGAAUGAGGGCUUGUUCUUUUGAGUCUGAUAUUUCAUUAUGUCUUCUCUACUUGUCCCACAAAUGUCAUUUUUGUAGCAGAUUCACUCAAAUGAUUUUACCAAACCAUGUGCUCUUUGGCCAAAAGAUGACCCCAUUGUUGGUGGAAAUUUAGAUAACAACUUGUUGGGUCCCCCACUUCUGCAUAAGAGUGCAUGGCCACCUUUGGGUACGCCAUUUUCAAAGCCCACAGCUAUCGAGAAUGCAAAGGAUGAAGAGAACUCGUUCACUGCUUCUUCUAGGAAAAAGUUUGAUUAGUACUAGAUUUUUUAAUGUCCUCUCGUCACUAAACAUAUAAUGAAGAAAAUUGGAGACAACAAUUGGCCUUCUACAUGCAAGAUGUUAGAGUGAUUCUCUUGUGAUUGAGAGAACUGUACCACACAUAGUGAACUUCUAAAGCUAUUGGUAGUUUGGGGCAACUUUUUCGAGCCAAACGCUCUCGAACCUCAAGAUGUUUCAUAGAAUUCUAGAGCCUAAAAUAACAUUGGCAAGUACUCUUUGGAAUUUUCUUGGUGAGCAUGAAACUCAGAAUUGCCAUGGAGAAGUUCAGAACCAGAAUCUAAUUGAUCUUGGGAGUCCUUGAAGUAUUCCAAUAUGGUCAUAUUUAAGGAGGCCCUGCUAACACCAACUCAUCUGGCUAUACACAUGGAAUAUGCUGCUGAAGAAGAACAAAGUGAUGAUAUAAAUGAAAGUUUUGCUCCUACUAAUGCAACCAAAGCCUCUUAAUUGGUGUUACUAGCAAUAUGGAUCAAGAGAGACACACAAAAAGCUAUUUCUUUGGGGACCUAACAAGUUGUUAUCUAAAUCUCCACCAACAGUGGGGUCAUCUUUUGGCCAAAGAGCACACGGUUUGGUAAAAUCAUUUGACUGAAUUUGCUACAAAAAUGCUAGCAUUUGUGGCACAAACAGAGAAGACAUAAAGAAAAAUCAAACUCAAAAGAACAAGCCCUUGUUCAUGCCAGCAUCUCUCUACCUUUGGGACCGAUCCUUUCUCUCUCUCUCUCUCUCUCUCGUAUGGCAUGCAUGGCCACAUUUGGUGGGUCAUUCUUAAUGCCCACGUGUUUUCUCUCUUUUCUUAUUUUCAUGCAUGCUUUCAAAAAUUGAUUUUCAAAAAUCUUGUUUUAAUUUCUCAACUUUUCAUCCUUUAUUAGGGUUUUAGGUUAUCAAAAAUCCCGAUUUUAAUAAGCUUGCUGUCAUUCUUCUUUUGGCAUGCACUUUUACAAAUUUUCUUUGAUUUUCAAAUAAUUUUUUGAUUUUCUCGUUUUUUUUUUAAUAAAAAUGAAUAAAUUUUCAUAAUGUCAAAAUAAUGGAAUUUAUGGGAUUAAUUCAUGUUAAAAUAAAUUUGGCUUUAGUGGGAACGCAACAUCCAUGAUAUUUUCUUUAAAAAUGAUUUGAGUGAAAUGCAUAAUUGACAUUGAUGGUUUUUGCUCUAUUUUGUGACGCAUGAGAUGUAUUUUGUAUUCAUUAUUGUGUACAAACUUCAUUUCAUAAUAGCACAUUAUUAUUUGCUGCUAAUGUACGAUCCUGCUCCUACUUUGUUUAUUUAUUCUCUAGGCAUGAUUAGCUUUCAGUGUAUGAUUAUUCCUUGGUAUUCAUUGAUUUCCUUAUCAAUUGUUACACUUGCCUCACCUUAUUUAGUAAAGACCUGUUUUUAGGGACAUAGAGGGGUGCUACGGUUUUUCAUCCUACCUUCCUAAUAAGUAACCGACCCUUGGACCCAACUUUGGUUUUUUACAGACAUGUCUUUUUCAAAUAAAGAGUAACACAAUAUUUUUUUUCUCUUAUUUUGUUUUCCUUUAAAAAAAAAAAGAAGUGGCAACUCCAAGUUUUUUUUGUCUUUCUAAAAAUCAAAUUUUCACCAAAUAAAAAAUCGAGUCUCACCGUCUAGUGGGAAUGCAUCUUGCAAAAUACGGGGUCCACAUUAGUAUGAAAGAUAUGAAAAUUGAAAGAAAAAUUUACCCUUAUCACUUGUCAUGUUAGAAAACACAUCACCGAGUGUGUGAGUUGGAGAAAGGUUCUCCUAAAAUUGCUAACCAAACACGCCUUAACCUUAGAUUAAAACCAAACUGAAUGUAAAAAUUUAUUUUAUUUUACAAGUUUGUAAGAGAAAAGUUGAAAAGUAUUUAACUCACUUUGGAAUACCUUUUACAAUAAUGAAAUUUUUGUCAAAAUAGUUGGUUUUCUCAAGUUCAAAUUCGUAGAACUUUUUUCUAGAGUUCCCUCCAUAUCUUUCCUAAUUCUACGAUAAUUAUCUAUUUUGUUUUAAUGCAAAGUAAUUUUAGACCUUGAGUUUAUCAAUUUUUAUGUAUAUUGUUUAACAUGUAAGUUGUAAGUUUACAUGUACUUGUACGACAGAAACAGGAUUGGAGGCUUGCAAGAUAUAAAAGGUGGCAUCCAAGAAUUAGGCAAGGGGCAAGGAUGAUGAGCUUUUUAAGACAAAAACAAACACCAUUACUAGAAUGAUUGUGAUCCCGCAUUUUUACAUGUGUUCUCACUCGAUGGGGAGACUCGCUUUUUGUUUGUGAAAAACUAAUUUUUUAAAUAAUGGAGUUGUCACUUAUUUUUAUUUUAUUUUUUAAAAGGAGAAACAAAAUAAGAAAGAAAAACCCUAAAUGUGACUCCUGAAAGAAUAGACAAGUUUAUGAAAACCAAGUUGGGUUUGGGGGUCAGGUUACUUAUCGAAAAGGUACAGUGAAAAACCAUAGCACCCCUUUAAGCCUUAAAAACUAGGUCUCUACUAAGUAAGUUUGAAGAAAUUAUGAUAAUUAAUUGGUUAAUCUAUGGAUACCGUGGAAUAAGAAUCUUAAUAAUAAUAAAAAAAUAUAUAUAUGAGUAAGCGAGAUAGAUUCCAGGUGUACCUUAGAUGCAAACUGAAUGCUAUCAUGAUAGAUGAGGUUAAUGUAUAAUAAUAAAUAUGAGAUAUCUCAUGUAUAUUCUGUAGUAAAGUUAAAUCAACCGUUUAUUUUAAUAAACAAGAUAACCAAAAAUCAAUCCACAAAUGAGUACAUCAUGUAUAUCAAGUCCCUCCAUCACCUAUUUUAUUUCAUGUGGACGUGGGAAAUAGAGGAAUGGGCUGUCAGGGACUGUGCACCGAAGGUGGCCUUUCCUUGUUGACACUGAAACAGACACCUCCAGCUGUGUCUUCUGUUGUAUCAAGUAUCCAAAAAUGCUUUAUUUUCGAAGCUUGCUGUAUUUGAAGAGCUUUUGGGCAAUACCAAGUUAUACAGUGUUGAGUAAAUUGAGUAUACCCCUUCUGGAAGUGUAAUCUCAUGGAUUUCUCAUCCACUUGUAGAUGCUUUAAUCAAUAGAAGAAAAGAGGAUGACCUAAGUAACUGGUAUUCUUCUGAUUUUCAAUUUGAUCCUCACUCGAGCUCUUUGAGUCUUCCAAAAUUUUCCAGUUCUAUUCUUUAAGCUUCCAAUGCUCUGUUCUGAUUUCUCAAGCUGGUUCAUCAAGGCCAGGUUAUUAUUAGUUACUAAUUGUAGCUUUUCUUCCAAAUCUUUCUUUACAAAUUCUAUCUUUCUCAAUUCAUCUUUCCACCUCCUGUUUUCAUGUACCUUGGAUUCUUUGAUUGCUCUAGACUAAAAGCAUUAGGUUACACUCACCAUUCCCAGGAAAAAUCUAAGAAGGUUCAGAUCAAUUUAUCCACUUUCUGUCUUUCCAUGGGUUGUAUUAUCAACUUUCAAGGUUGGAGGGUCUAUGGUUGUUAUGCAUUCUCCAAGCCAUGCAUGUGACUGUUUGCCAGUCAGAGUAAUUCUAGUACUCCACCUUACCUACUCACCUUCAUGGGAAUUUGAACAUUUAGACUUAUGCUCAUGAGAGGAAAAUAUUCAAGCUUGUAGCGAAUUAUAGUCGAUAAGUUAGUGUUGGAAAUCAAGCCAGCAUCCUCUGUUUACUUCCCUAAUUAGUGUAAUGUACAGCCUUUAUUAUAAUUGAUUUAGGAGUAAUUCUAGCAAGGUAGUUUAUUCACUUUCCAUGUAAGAGUAGUUUAUUCACUUUCCAUGUAAGAGUAGUUUAUUCACUUUCCAUGUAAGAGUAGUUUAUUCACUUCCCAUGUAAGAGUUUAUUCACUUUCCAUGUAAGGGAAAUUCCAUUCCGGAAUUGUCUCAUAUCUGUAGGUUAUUUAUUUAUGCUUUAAAAAAAAAAAAUCAUAGAAUGAAUUGAGGUGUUCCUCCAUAGUUUGUCUUCAAAUUCUUCAUGGUAUCAGAGCAGGUUUAAUCCUGUCUCAUGUCUCCUCUUUUGUCAGUACAGUCACAAACUGGCUCAUCUUCCAACCAGGUAAUUGGUUCCGGAACCUUGGCUCACAAAGGUAAUUUUUUGAGUGCCUUCACUGCUGGUAAGAAACGUAAAAAACCUUGGAUAGUGGACUCAGGAGCAUCUGAUCAUAUGACGGGAGAUGCGACAAUUUUUGAUACAUAUAGCUCAUGUCCAAAUAAUUUAACAGUCCGAAUAGCAGAUGGUUCACUAUCAAAGGUUGCCGGAACAGGUUCAGUUGUGCUAUCAAGGGAUCUUACUCUCAACUUUGUUCUCCUUGUUCCUAACUUGGACUGUAAUCUAUUGUCAAUUAGUAAACUCACUAAGGAAAAGAGGUGUAUUACUAAUUUUUCCUCCACUCACUAUGAAUUUCAGGAUUUGGAUUCGGGGAAGACGAUUGGCAAUGCUGAGGAAUGCUCUGGACUCUACAUCCUUAAGGAACGCCACGAUCCACAAGAACAACCUCAAAUGACAGUUGGUAGUAAUUCUUUUUCGGUUUCAUGUCAAAAUAACGAUAGUGCAAUUAGGUUGUGGCACUAUCGCUUAGGUCAUCCAAAUGUUAUGUAUCUCAAGCAUUUAUUUCCUUCAUUAUUUAAUAAAAAUCCAAAAUCCUUUGAGUGUGAAAUCUGUCAAUUAUCAAAGCAAGUCCGGUCUCAUUUUCCCAUUCAACCCUAUAAAGAGUCUAGUCCAUUCUCAAUGAUUCAUAGCGAUAUCUGGGGUCCGUCAAGAAUAAAAAAUGUAACUGGUACUAGGUGGUUUGUCUCAUUCAUAGAUGAUCACACUAGAUUAACUUGGGUAUUCCUCAUGAAAGAAAAAUCUGAAACGAGUCAAAUUUUCAAAAAUUUUAAAAAUAUGAUUCAGACCCAAUUCCAGUCAAAAAUACAAAUUCUAAAGUCUGAUAAUGCUAGGGAUUAUUUCAACUCCAUUCUAGGAGAAUUUCUAGCACAAGAAGGGAUAGUUCACUUAAGUUCAUGUGUUGAUACCCCACAACAAAACGGAAUCGCUAAAAGGAAAAAUAGGCAUUUGUUAGAGGUGGCUAGAUCACUAAUGUUCUCCAUGAAUGUUCCAAAAUUAUUCUGGGGGCAAGCUGUCCUUACGGCAGCCUACCUCAUCAAUAGGAUGCCGUCUAGGGUACUAAAAUUCCAAACACCUUGUCAAACACUCCUAAAAUCCUUUCCGACUACUCGUCUCAUCUCCACCGUCCCACCCAAAAUUUUCGGGUGCUCUGUCUUUGUUCAUAUCAAUCAACAACAUAGAAGUAAACUUGAUCCUAGGUCACUCAAGUGCAUCUUUCUUGGGUAUUCUUCAAAUCAAAAAGGGUAUAAGUGUUACUCUCCGGUCACAAGAAAAUUCUACAAUUCAAUGGAUGUCACCUUUUUUGAAACCCAGCCUUACUAUCCCAAAAACGAUAUUCAGGGGGAGAAUUCAACUCAGGAAUAUCAAUUUUGGGAUCUUGAGUCAUUCAGUGAGUCACCCAUCACCACUGAAAAUCACAUUCCUCCAGAGUCAUUUAAUCAACCCGAGUCCAUUGUUGACUUGUGGGAUAAGGAGCACAUCCAAGAGGAAACGGAGGAAAGAGCACUUUCUCAACAAACCCAUGAGGCAGAACCGGGUCCUAAUCCAAGCAAACUUCCAGGUAACAACGCUCCUGAUGGUACUGUUGAUUCCGAGUUAGAAAAUGAUAUUCUUAAUAUGCCCAUAGCUUGGAGGAAAGGAGUUAGAUCAUGCACUCAGCAUCCCAUUGGAAAUUUUAUUUCUUAUGAUAAGCUAUCACCUACGUUUCGUGCAUUCACUUCUAGCAUCACAGAUAUACAAGUUCCUCAGAAUAUUCAGGAAGCUUUCAAGUAUCCUAAGUGGAAGGCGGCAGUCGAUGAGGAAGUUCGGGCGCUGGAAAAGAAUGGUACGUGGGAAAUUACUGACCUCCCAAGAGGUAAGAAACCAGUUGGGUGUAAGUGGAUUUUCACAGUAAAGUACAAGGCAGAUGGUAAUGUGGACAGGUAUAAGGCUCGGUUGGUCGCCAAAGGAUUCACCCAAUCCUAUGGCAUUGACUAUCAAGAAACUUUUGCUCCAGUUGCCAAGCUCAAUACUGUUCGUGUACUUUUAUCCUUGGCAGCUAAUCUCGAUUGGUCGCUUCACCAACUUGAUGUGAAGAAUGCCUUCCUCAAUGGUGACUUAGAGGAAGAAGUUUACAUGGACAUUCCUGCUGGACUUGAGACAACAUCAAAUUUCAACAAGGUUUGCAGACUCCGAAAAUCCUUGUAUGGUCUCAAACAAUCUCCCAGGGCCUGGUUUGAACGGUUCACUAAGGUAGUGAAAGGGUACGGAUUCGUUCAAUGUCAAUCCGAUCACACAUUAUUUGUGAAACACUUCCCAGAAGGGAAACUGGCAAUUAUCAUUGUAUAUGUGGACGACAUAAUUUUGACAGGUGAUCAUGAAGAGAAAAUUGACUUACUUAAAAAAUUACUGACAAAGGAAUUUGAGAUCAAGGAUCUUGGAAACCUCAAGUACUUUCUCGGAAUGGAGAUUGCUAGGUCAAAGAAAGGUAUAGCAGUCUCACAAUGCAAAUACGUUCUGGACUUAUUGAAUGAAACAGGAAUGCUAGGAUGCAAGCCGGCAGAAACACCUAUGGAUACAACUGUCAAACUGGAAGAAAGUGAUGGAAGUGCGCCAGUUGAUAAAGGAAGAUAUCAACGUCUUGUGGGGAAACUCAUCUAUCUUUCUCAUACAAGGCCAGACAUCGGCUUCUCCGUUAGUGUGGUAAGUCAAUUCAUGAAUAAUCCAACCGAAAAACACAUGACUGUUGUGAUCAGAAUAUUGAGAUACCUCAAGAUGACACCGGGAAAGGGUCUCUUCUUUCAAAGAACAACAAAGAAAGAGAUUGAGAUUUUUUCAGAUGCAGAUUGGGCAGGUUCAGUGACUGAUCGGAGAUCAACUUCAGGCUAUUGUUCAUUUGUCUGGGGGAACUUGGUUACAUGGCGAAGCAAGAAACAGUCAGUGGUAGCCCGUAGCAGUGCUGAGGCAGAAUUUCGUGCUAUGGCACAAGGUAUCUGCGAGGGAAUCUGGUUGAACAGGCUGUUAGAAGAAUUACGGGUUCCAUUGAAGCAUCCCAUGGUGUUAUACUGCGACAAUCAAGCUACCAUCAGUAUCGCUAAGAAUCCGGUUCAUCAUGAUCGAACUAAGCACGUGGAGAUAGAUCGACACUUUAUCAAGGAAAAGAUUGAAGAAGGAGUUUUCAAAGUCAGCUACACUCCGACAAACUGUCAAACGGCUGACAUUCUCACAAAAGCCCUUGCUCGAGUUAACUUCGAAGAUCUGAUAGAAAAACUUGGAAUGAUCAACAUCUACAACGCGGCUUGAGGGGGAGUGUUGGAAAUCAAGCCAGCAUCCUCUGUUUACUUCCCUAAUUAGUGUAAUGUACAGCCUUUAUUAUAAUUGAUUUAGGAGUAAUUCUAGCAAGGUAGUUUAUUCACUUUCCAUGUAAGAGUAGUUUAUUCACUUUCCAUGUAAGAGUAGUUUAUUCACUUUCCAUGUAAGAGUAGUUUAUUCACUUCCCAUGUAAGAGUUUAUUCACUUUCCAUGUAAGGGAAAUUCCAUUCCGGAAUUGUCUCAUAUCUGUAGGCUAUUUAUUUAUGCUUUAAAAAAAAAAAAAUCAUAGAAUGAAUUGAGGUGUUCCUCCAUAGUUUGUCUUCAAAUUCUUCAUAUUUUUCUUCAAAUUCUUCAGUUAGCAAUGAAUGACCUCUCACCACUAACAACACAAACUGCUUAUUUACUCUUUGGUGCAGUCUCAUCCUCACUUUACCAUUUGAAGAAUCACUGGGUUGAGCUUCUAAAUCUGAUAACAUGGUAGUCUCCCGAAGACUACCAAAGGAGUCUGCAGAAGAAAUUUCCUUUUUAGUUGUGGCAUCAUCAAGUGUUGCAGUCUCUGUCAUCUUCUUCAUCGAUGCGCUUUUGUUAAAGUGACUCCUAUUAGACAGAAUAUUUUGGAAGAACAAAGUUAGUUUCAAGUUGGUUUUAGAGUUAGUUGACGAAGAUCUAAGAUCCUUUGAUUCUUGCAGAAUCACUAACCAAGAAUAUACAUUAUGGCAUCGACAAGAUCAACUCCUAUUGAGUUGGUUAUUAUUAUCAAUCUCUGAAGGAGUGCUGGCCCAGGUAAUUGGUUGUUCCACAUCUUCUGAAGUAUGGAUUACCCUGGAAAAACUCUUUGCAUCCCAGUCAAAGACAAGAAUAUUACAAUUGCAUAUCCAACUCCAAUCAAUCAAGAAAAAUUCAUUAACAAUGGGUGAAUAUUUUGCAAAGAUAAAAAGAGUUGCUGACAAUCUUGCAGCUGUCGGACAACCAAUCUCCAAUGAUGAUAAGAUGAUGUACCUUCUUGCUGGGCUUGGAUCUAACUAUGAUCCAGUUGUAGUAAGUGUUACAUCCAAACCUGAUUCCUUUUCUCUUCAAGAAAUACAGGCUAUACUACUCAAUCAAGAAGCACGCCUAGAACAACUACAUUCAGAAAAAUCAAUUGAGUUUCAAUAAACUGCUGCCAACAUUGCUUCACAUACUUUUUUCAAAGGCAAUGAUCCAAAGGUAUCAAUAGGUGGUCAUACCACCAUUCCUCAAAAUAUUAGAGGAGGUUACAGAGGUGGUCGCAAUCGAGGAGGUCGAGGCAGUAGAUACAACUUCUCAAAACCAAUCUGUCAAGUUUGUGGCAAACCAGGCCAUACUACUCUCACAUGCUACUAUCGAUUUGAUCACAAUUAGCAAUCUCAAAACUCUCAGAUUUCUGCCUCAAUUGAUUCACCAGAAAUGGUGGUUGAUCCAGCCUGGUACGUUGAUAGCGGGGCAACAAAUCAUGUCACAAAUGAGCUGGGACGUAUGCAAGCUGCCACUGAAUAUCUUGGAAACCAAAAGUUAACUGUGGGCAGUGGCCAAGGUUUGCCCAUUCAACAUAUUGGUCAUUCUUUUUUAUCUACUUCAGAUAAAACUAUUCUUCUCAAGAAUAUAUUGCAUGUUCCAAGCAUUACAAAAAAUCUUUUAAGUGUCUAAAAAAUUUCUUGUGACAAUGAUGUGUUCUUUGAAUUUCAUGCCACUCAGUGCCUUUUCAAGGAUAAAGUCACGGGGAAAAUUCUGCUUUAAGGGAGAAUCAAUAAUGGACUAUAUCAACUUCAAGGACCUAACUCUACCACAACAAAAGGAGCUCCAGUCAGCAAUCCAUAUGGAAUAAAGACUACUACUCAAAUAAAGAGGAAAUUGAACUCUUCUUUGGAUCAGUUGCAUUCAUCCUUCAGCAAUCUACUAUAGAAUAGACCUAGGUUAUCUUUCAAACAUCAAUGUUCCUCAGAUAACUGUUUUGCCUUGAAUGUUCAAUCUAAAGACUUAAAUACUUGGCAUAAUAGACUUGGGCAUCCUUCUCAUCGUAUGCUUCAUCAAAUACUCAAGAAAUGCAAUAAAUCGCAUAUUAGUAAGAAAGCCGUUAGUAAUUUUUGCUCUGCUUGCCAAUAUGGAAAAGGACAUAAAUUGCUUUUUCAUUCAUCCCCUACAAAGACUAGCAAACCUUUAGAACUUGUUCACUCAGAUGCAUGGGACCGUCACCUCUUCUCUCUACUGAAGGGUAUAGAUAAUAUGUUAGUUUUAUUGAUGAUUUCACCCGGUAUACAUGAAUUUUUCCACUCAAGAACAAAUCUGCAGUACCUUCUAUAUUUCUGCAGUUCAAAAAGUUUGUCGAGAAUCUCCUUGAAGAAAAUAUCAAAGCCUUGCAAAUAGAUAUGGGUGGUGAAUACAAACUAUUGGCACAAUUUCUCAAUCACAAUGGUAUAAUAUUGUGACAAUCGUGUCCCUAUACGCACCAAUAAAAUGGUCAUGAGGAACAAAAACAUAGGCACAUUGUUGAACUUGGCUUAACAUUGUAAGCACAAGCCUUCAUGCCUCUCAGUUUUUGGUGGGAUGCUUUCAACACUGCAGUUUAUUUAAUCAAUAGGUUACCUACAUUGCUACUGAAUAAUCAGUCUCCCAUGAGAAAAUUAUAUCAUCAAGAACCUGAUUUCUCUUUCCUCCCUAUUUUGGAUGUGCCUAUUUUCCACACAUCAGACCAUAUAAUAAGAACAAGUUUGAUUUCCAUUCACUCAAAUGCAUAUUCAUGGGUUAUAGUAGUCUACACAAAGGAUACAAGUGCCUAAGUUCCUCAGGAAAAAUUUAUAUAGCAUACAAUGUGGUAUUUGAUGAACAUUCCCUUUCUCCAUGGGAUUUUCAAUUAUCCCGACUCUUGGUUCUUAUAAAAAAACUAUGAGUACAACCCCAACUUCAAGACUUCCUGUGGUGUUACCCCAGCUUGACAAGCCAAUAUCAUCUGUUGUUAAAAAAUCAGUCUACAUCUUACACUCCCAAUGGAAACUCAAGAGAACCAACACAGUCUCCUACAACUAGUACUUCCAAAAAUCAUUCUACAUCCCAGUCAAUUCCUCAUAAUGACUUGCAUACUGAUUUGUCUAUUCCUAUCUUGAAUACACAUCCAAUGACAAGGUCAAAGGUAGGAAUAUUCAAACCAAAGCUACUCACAGUUGAUAGCACAACAGGACAACCUGAGAGUGAACCCAAUAUUGUUAUGGAAGCUUUGAAAUCUAACCAGUGGAAAAAAACUAUGGAAGCAGAGAUUCAGGCACUAAAUCAGAAUCAAACCUGGUUCAUAAUACCUUGUCUUCCACAUUAUAAUGUUGUUGGUCACAAAUGGGUGUAUAAGUUAAAAUAUAACCCAGAUGGCUCAAUUCAACGUCACAAGGCAUGACUUGUAGCAAAAGGAUUUCAUCAAACACCAGAAGUUGAUUUUUCAGAAACAUUCAACCCUGUCAUAAAGCCAACUACUGUACGCAUCAUCUUAACUAUAGUAGUUACAAAGGGCUGGAAGAUUCAACAACUUGAUGUCAACAAUGCUUUCUUAAAUGGAAAGUUGCAAGAAAUAGUUUUCAUGUCUCAACCUGAAAGAUUUGUAGAUCCAGAGAAGCCUGAAUAUGUAUGCAAACUACAUAAAGCAUUGUAUGGACUCAAGCAAGCACCACGUGCUUGGUUUGAAGAAUUAUGAAGUACUCUCUUCAAAUGGGGUUUCAAAGACUCGAAGGUUGACACGUCCUUGUUUCUAUAUAGUGAAGGUUGUAACUCUUUUUUCCUCCUUUUGUAUGUGGAUGAUAUUCUCAUUACUUUGAAUAACCCCAACUUAGUCACAAGACUUAUUCAUGAUCUCAACUUCUCAUUUUCACUCAAGGACUUCGGAGAGUUACAUUAUUUCUUGGAAUAGAAGCAUUUCGAGAUUCCACAGGACUUUAUCUAACUUAGUCCAAAUAUAUCCUUGAGAAGUUGUAUCGCAACAUUAUUGGAGCAUUACAAUAUCUCACGAUCACUAGGCCAGAAAUAUCUUACAUUGUAAACAAGUUGAGUCAAUUUCUACAUUGUCCAACUGAUAUGCAUUGGAAAGCUUGUGAACAAGUAUUAAGAUACUUACGCAGGAGUAUUGAUCACGGUCUACACAUUCAACCAGCCUCCCGUUUUAGUCUCACUAGCUUUUCAGAUGCUGAUUGGGUUAGUUUUGUUGAUGAUCGAAGGUCUACUAGUGGCUUUUGUGUUUUUCUUGGUCCUAACAUCAUCUCAUGGAGUUCACGCAAACAGAAAGUUGUUGCAAGGUCAAGCACCGAAUAAGAAUAUAGAGCAUUGGCUCACACAGCAGCAAAGGUAACCUGGGUACAAGGCUUGCUAAAAGAACUACAAGUACCUAACUCUUCAUGUCCUGUGAUAUGGUGUGAUAACAUUGGGGCAGCUUGCAUUGCUGCAAAUCCAGUUGCACAUGCCUGCACAAAACACAUCGAAGUAGAUGUCCAUUUUGUACAUAAAAAAUCCAGUUACCACCUUAGAUAUAAUUCCCAUGUGUCAUACCAAAGCUCCCAAAAGUCAAUGGUUCUAUGACAAAGUUUAGGGAUGCUAGUUGGAUUUUGAGAAGACUUGGAGUUUGAAAGCUUGAGAAAUCUUAGGCAGGCUGGUAGGGAUUUGAGACUUUCAUAGAUUUUAGGGAUAUUGAUUUGAUUUUGAGAAGAUUUGAAACUUGAAAGAUUUUGGGACGCUAGUCAGGAAAGGAACUAUGAGAUAUUUUAAGGUUUUCAAUGUCAUGUAGAUUUUAGGGUUUUUAAAGUCACAUUUACUAAUGUUAUGUCAAAGACUUUACUUUAUUUUUAAAGGACAAGACUCUUAAGGGGAUUUUUGCCAUUUAUGACUGAUAAUUACCAUCAUAUCCUCUAGAGCAAUUUCAUAAGUUUCUCCAACUUUUCACACUACUUAUACAAAGUUUCACUCUUUUAUACUAAUUUGCAGCCCCAACAACCCCUUAAUCAUAGUUGUCCUAAGAAUUAAUUGAUUAAAAGAAUAAAAAUAUCUUGUAUUUGUAAAUCUAAUCUCCUCCACUUAUGUUUUGAAAAAUAACAUGUUUUUAACAUAAAUAUCCCUUAACAUAUUGAUUAUUUAUAUGUAUAUUUUAAAAGAAAAAAAACUAGGGCAUUUUUGUUCAAAACGGAAAUUUUUUAGGGUUAAAAAAAGUUGAGAUUAGAUUUAUAAAAUAGGAAAGAUUUUGUCCCUUUUAAUCAAAUAACUCAUUUAAAAUUUCUACGGAGAAAUAUGGGAUGAUGUGUCACAUAAACACCACAUGAGUUCAUUAUGAGAAAGCCAUCGAAGACACCAUCUCUGUGUAUUAUGGUAUGAUUUUGAGAAUAAUUUUACCGCAUGGAAGCAUUAAUAAGACCAUCUAAAAACGAGUGAAGAAAUAGUUGGAUUGUAUGGGCUGGAAGGACCUAAUUGUAGAUGGACUAUAUCAUUUUGUUAAAUUAGCCUUACUAGAAAGUUUUUGCUGAAAAUGAAACCACUAAACAAUUACCUACGUCAUACGUGGGGCUGCUUCUCAGCAAUGGGGAUAACCUUUUUCAACACAAAAAAGGAGAGGAUGGAAGAGAUGUUCCAAUUAUAACAUUAGUGGAUGACUACUAAACAUAUAUUUGCUUUAAUAAUUCAAUUUCUAUUACAUUCCUCCUCCCAUGGACUCACUACCUCAAGUUGAGAAACGGAUACAUUUUGUCAAAUGUUGCUGAAACCCAUUUGUCUUUUAAGGAUGGAACCAUAGAGGUAUGAGUAGAAAUAUCUGACAUCCAAUGUAGAAAUGGUAGUUUGCAAUCAAUUUAAGCCUAAGAAUAAAGAGUUAAGUACUUUUGAUAGUUUUUGUGAAAAUGUUUUUUAUAAAAGUGUAUUUAAAAGAAUCAUUCAUCAACUACUUCUCCCAAAGCACAAAAAUUUAUAUUUUAGCUUUUGAAAAGUGUUUUUAAAAUUUUGUCAAACAUUUCAUUUUUUUUUUCAAAAGUGUUUUUUAUACUAAAAAUGUUUUGAUUUAAUUGGUAUUGAUUGUCUCUAAGUGAAUGGAGAGGAGGACGGCUGGGUUAUAGAAAGGUAAGGUGGAGGUAGUACUUUGAAUGACGAAGAGAGGUGGCUCAAUAGGGAAGGAAUGGGCGAUCAUCAAGGAUAACUUCUUUGUUGGUGAAAUGAAGAGCUAAAUAGCACCAAUGAUUCUCUAAGCUAGUUUAGAUUUCCAACGCCUCAGGAAAUUGGUCUAGCCUCACCCCACAAGCACCUUACCUUCCUUUUGCCCUUCGUUUGAUUUGCCUCCACGAACAUGCCACCCAGGAGCCCUACUCAUAUCCCAAAGGCUGCCUCAAUUCAAGUGCAACCCCCAUCUAUUGCAUAAUCUAAAAAAGUGUUUAGCAAAGUACCAUAGCAGUUACCAAAAUGAUUAGAUUUGGUUACCAACGAUCGCUUUCAAAGUUUCUUGAGGUUUUUUUUCUGAAUUUAAGUAGUCUUUCGUCGCCCGCCCAAUCAAAUGAAAGAAGACGCUAUCAAAUAACUCACCCUAUUGAAGUACCAAAGGGGCACUCCAGUCAACUUAGAAAUUGGUUUUUUCUUGAAUUUUAGUGAUGAGGUUGGUCAUAGAUCUUAAUGGGCUCCAAGAGGGAAGGUAGAGCUCUAAUUCUCUCCCUCAGGAGACCAAUUUUCAAUACUAGUUAUAUGUUACACUACCAUUUUUCUAAUAUUAUUGAAUAGCAUGACUUGGGGCUAAGGUAACUAAAAUGGGAGAGCCAUGUUAUGGGUAACCUUGUUCAGAAAGCACUAGUGUAUGUUGUUAUGCAAUUCAUUGUUCAUUUCUUCGUCGGCCAUAUCCAUGUUUCAACGAUGGCCCAAGGCACUGAAGUCAACAUGACCUACUUCAACAAACCCAAGACAAAGGGACCCUCCCCACCACAUUCCCCAAUCCAAAAAUGUGUCGAGGUCCACCCACAUCAUCUCCCUUGUAUCCCCAAGGGCACUGCCCUUCUUAACUUUUGAUAACUUUUCAAAUCAGAUGCCACAUACUCACCUUUUGGUCUGCAGGUUACCACCAUAGAUCAUACACAGACACACAUGCAUGCGCCCCACAGCUACUAUAACAAUAUUGGGCGCAAUUAGGUUCCUAGAGUUCUGGCACCUAAUUUUCCCUCUGAUUUAUUAAUAUUCAACACAAAUAUCUGCACGAAAUUAUACCCAUUCAGACAUUAGAUAAAUGCAUUUGGUACUCAAAUCCCUGGGUAAUAUGUAUAAACAAAUUUACAAGCAAAUACCCAAUUUAUGAAUCUGUCCAAAUGGAAGCUCUCUCAUUCUCUCUCAGCACCUUCUCUUUUAUUCUGAAUUAGACCACCACAACCACCAUGGUUCUUUCCAUAUGCACUCUGCCCUAUAAAUGCAAUGCAUCUUCUCCUCAGCAUGUCAUAUCCGGAGAAAAGGAUUGAACAACCUGAAAAAACAAAAUUAAUCUCAGAUAUAAAGUUAACUAUGCUGUAAAAUUUAGGCUCAAAGAAAUAUGCAUGGCCCAAAAAUAUAAAAGCAAGUUUCCAGGAUUGUGAACUCCAACAGCACUUAGUUGUCUCAAAAACCAUGCCAUUGCCCAUAUGUUCUCACAAAAAUGAAAUGGUCCAGUGAACAAACAGUCUACUGGUGAACAGUUAAUUGAUACACCAUACAAGAAAACAAUAAUCAAAAUGAUCAACUUCUUUUAUCAUGAGUGGGUGUUCACAAAUACAAAUAUGCAAACGUAGGAUUCAUGGCCCAACAAAGCACAUAGUGAUGAUACGUUCUUUUUCCAUUUUCCAAAGACAUGCUUCAUAAAUUAGAAAAACACACGAGGCAUUAAUUCCAUAAGUAUUAAUUCAAUUGUUAGGAUGACAGUUUUAGCCAAGUCAUCUCCCUUUCCCUAGUAUCAGCAACAAAUACAAUCAAUCAAAUCCCAAGGCAAAGGAUCAAGGAACUUAAAAUCACUGUACUACUCCUGAAUAUGGAGCCAAUCCUCCUUUCCACGCUAUUAAAGAUAAAAAAAAUAAUGGGAUGCUUUUGGAUCAAAUGUCGAGCUCUAAGGAAAUAGGAAUUAAGGUGGCCCUUAGCACCUGGCUUCAUAAAACAUAUGAUUUUCCAAAAUUAAAUCAAGCAGUUUUACAUGAGGAACUAGAUUUGAAGACAAAAAUAUUAACAGAGACUGCUAAAUACAAUGGUCAUGCGUGGAUACAAUUUAUACAUAUGGAAUACCAUUGGUUUGAUAAAUUUGGGAAUUCAGACACAUGCGUAUGAGCAUGCGCACACACAAAUCCUUGGAUUGGAAAGGAAUAGGAAAAUUAGCAAUGUUCUUAUUCAUAACCUUUGGACAUCUUUGAGUUUAGAAUUGUAUUUAUCUCACUAGCUUGUGCUUUCCUCAAGUACCACAACCACCAGACACCCUUUUUCCUUUACAUUAGAUGAUUGGCCCAUGGGAGGACUAACCUUUCACUGGAAUAACAAUCCACACCUUCUAAAUUUAUCUUUAUCCAUCUUUCUUUUCGUAAGAUAUUUUCAUCCCCUCUCAAGUUGUAGUACAUGAUCAAUACUUCAAAUUUUAGCCAUGCCAUAUUGUUCUCAAUGGUUUCAUAACUUUUGAGACGGAACCAACUUUAUAACAGAGCUCUGUAUUUGUCAUGAUGAUAGAUUUUUGGUUUUUUGAUAGGCAGUAACUUUUUGGCACAUGAAAUUGAACCUGGAAUCUUUCCAUCCCCAAUAAUUUAUCAUCAGAGUCAGGCAUCAGGGGUUCUAGUCAUGAUGAUAGAAAGAAAGAAUGAUAGAAAGAAAGAAUGAUAGAAUGAAAUCAAACACUUCAGAAAGGAUUAUUAACUGUGGAACCAAUGCCAAACUGGUGCAAGAUCUUUCAAAGUUGCACACUACAAUGGAGAAUUCGGACUAGGGUUUAUAGAAUAGGUUAGAUGAAUAGCAGUUGGUAUAAGAGGGUGGUUCCAGAAUAAAAUUAGGGUUUGAGAGCUGGUUUCAUGGUCUCAAUGUUUUGAACAUCAAUCACAUAGAAAUUAUAAAAAAAGACUUAACCCCCUUGCUAAGUAGAUUAAUCUCAACCAAUAAUUACAUUAUUAAUGGAACCUAAAACCUUUAACACUGUAUAAAGCAUUGAAAAUCUCAAGUAGACAAAAGGAAUUUACUCACUGGACAUUUGCAACUUGCCAUUUCAAUGAUACGUUAAAAGCACCAAAUCACAUUUAUCUGACCACUACUAACAACCAAAGUUUUUAAAGGCGGAAAGUGUAAGGUGUAGAGUUUUCAUGCCUGUGAGGCCAAGCAAAAGCCUCGAAACAUUGAAGCGUAAGUCUUUUGAGACCCUCAUUUUUAUAAUUAAUAAAUAUUAAAAUAUAUAAGAAAAUUAAAAUAUAAUUGAAUUAUAUAAAUUUUUGCUAUAAAUAUUAAAUCAAUCAAAUAACCUUUUUUUGGAACAUAUAAGAGUAAAAUUUCAAUUAUAUAAUGACGUUCAUAUUCUACAAAGUCAUAUUUUAAAUAAUUUAAAUAUGAAAUCAAUUGCCUAAUUUUUUGUUGUUUCAAAAUAAAUGAAGCUAAAGAAUUUUAAAAAGAAAAAUAAAAUCAAUUAUCUAUUUUUUUUUUACUAUUUGAAAAAAAAAAAUCAUUUGUCUAAAAUUUUCUACCAUUUGAAAUCAAUUAUAGAAAAAGAAGUUAAAGUUUAUCUAGUUUGCUAAUUUUCUACACACAAAAAGGAAAAAAAAAAGGUUGGCCUCAUAAAACAAAGAGAUCAAGAUGCUACUUGAAAAAAAAAAAGAUAAGAAACAAAUAGGCGUGAAAUAAAGCAUUAUUUAAGGUUAAAAAAAGAAAAGGGAAAACUAUAAAACCAAUUCAGGAGAAGAGAAGGAAUUAGAACUACAGAGAAAAGAAGAAUGGAUAACAAAUAGGGGGAAGAAGAAAGAGCCCCUGAUGUAGGACAACCCUAGGAUGGUUGCCUACACUCAAGGGUAGGUGGGCUAGGGUUUUAUUUUUAGGGUGUAAGGAGAGGAACAAGGAAUAAACUUUAUGGUAGAGAAAAUUAUAAGAUAAGAAAUAGAGAGAAAGAAGAAACAAUGAAGAAAAGAUGGAAAACCUUAGAGUCUCACUAAAGCCUUCUAGGAGUCUCACCUAGAAGAAAAAUCAAUGGAAUCUCACCAUUGAGGGUUGCAACCUUGCAAUAAAAGAAAGUAUAAUAUUAUUCAUCAAAUUCAUUCAUUUGAUUUACAUUGAUUAGCCUAUUUAUAGGCUUCUCUAAGAAAUCCAAAGUCUACUAGGACUCUAAUAACCUAUUAUGAUUCUAAUUAUAAUUAUAACAUCCAAAGUCUACUAGGACUCUAAUAACCUAUCAUGACUCAAAUUCUAAUUAUAUUAUAACUUAACUAGCUAAUCCUAAUUAGACUCCAACAAAUAUUAAUCCUAAUUUAAUUCAAAGUAAUAAUAAUCCUACUUUAAUUACAACUAAUACUAAUUCCCUUUCUUGAUAUAUAUCUUGAAUAUUCAUCCUCAUUAGCCCCUCUUCAAAAAAAGAGACACUCUUAAGUUGGCACAGAUUUUUUGUGGGUUAAAAAAGGAAAAAGGUGUGACAAGCCACUCCUCUAUGCCUCUUUCAGACAAUUUGGAAGGAAAUGAACAGUAGGGCAUUCGAUAAUGAAGAGCAUUCUGUCCAAAGGAUUAAACUUACUUUUCUUUGUAAUCUUUGGGUGUGAUCCAAAUUGUUUAUAGCUCAUGACCCUUCUAUUGUAGAUUUUAUGGAUUGGUUGGGGUCUUGUUGAGAGGUGCUGUUUUUUGUUGUCUCUCUUUGUUUUUUAGAGGUGCUUUAGGCACCCGCUGUAGACUCUGUACUUUGAGACGCUUUUUUGGUGUUUCUCUUUAUAUCAUAUGUUUCCUUUAUCCAUCAAAAAGGAAAAAGAAAGAGCCAAGGACCAUACUUGGAUAUCUUGUCAGAGUAAUGGGAAGAUGUCAAAGCCACCUACACCAGAGUGAGACGCUAUUGAUGGUCCACCAACAAUGAGUUAAGAGUUAGGGUUCUCUAUGUUUUCUCCUCUUAUUGCACUUUCCACAAGCUCUUUUGGUUAAAGGACCACCUUUUGUUUUUUUGAUCUGGUUGCAACAACAAAAACAUGUUAGAGGCUUAUGCCUUUGACAAUUUGAAGGCCUUAGAUACACUUUGACUCCUAAGGUCUAUACCUUUUAGGAGUAUAGCACUUUUGUGAACACUUUGAUGCGUUUUGGGAAUGCUUCGCCUUGAGGUGUGCCCUGAAGAGCACCUCACCAAUACCUUUAAAAACACUACUACCCAUGCCAUAACAAAUAUGCUAAUUAUCCAAUAUAACCCAUAAUUUCAACUAAAACAAACUUAAAUGUAAUCAAAUUUAAAAUUAAUCACCAGAAAAGAAAAACAAUUAAAAGGAAAAAAAUUAUAGCAUGAACACUAUGAACAAUAUCGAACAAAAGAGAACAAAAGAAUCUAACAUGACACCUUUCACUAAAAGAAAAAACAAAACACAAAAAGGCCUUCAUAAAAACCAGUUUUAUGAGAAACAAAUUUUAAAGAAAAUGUAGAAGUCAUAAAAAGGGAACGCCAAAUGCAUGUCAAAAUACAGAUAUUCAAACACAGUUAACAAGAAACCAGAAUCUUGGGUUAGAAUGCAUGUCAAAAUGUGGAUAUUAAAAUGCUGGUGAAACCACAUAGCAACAUCAUUACUCACCUCCAAAGAUGAAAUGCUGAGGACAGAUGCAAUUGCUGAAACAAUGUCCGACAACUUAAUUUGAACCCGAGCUUGCAGCACAAGCAGCUGGUGUAUUGCUGUCGUUCAGAGGGUUUUCAGCACGAGUCUCUCUCUCAUUCUGGUUACUCUGCUCCGUAACAGAAUCAGCCAGAUGACUUGAUACAGAAGCCUGGCCGGCCCCAUUAUUUUCCCUGGUGUCAAGACGCUCCAUCAUGCGAGAUACACUAGCAAUUCCAGCAUUCACCUCUCUCCGAACUUCAGAACCAAGGUCAGCCAUGGAAUUGUUACGAGAGAACAGCCUCUCCUUCCACCCUCUUGUACUCUUUGAAAUCGACUCUUUGUAUCUUACAACAUGCAUGAAUAAUAAUAAAUUUUCAGAUCCAGAAAAGAAAUUUAACAAACUUGUUGUAAACAUUUUGACAGAAAGUAGAGUUUUUAUGCUGCUUAUACCUCAUUGAUACUGCAUUAAGUCGAGAUUUCAGGGAUUCUGAAAAGGACUGUAACUCAGAAGGUCCUGCUCUAUCUUGAUCUGGAGGUGAAGAUUGACUUGCAGAGCUGCUAUAAACAGAUGAUAAAUAAUCAAAGAAAUAAAUCAACACAGAUCAUACUGGUGGUGGAGCUGGCAGAGGGUGGCCCCCUCUCAAAAAUGAUUAACAAGGCAAUUAAAUCAGAAAAUUAUGAUACCGAUUAUUAAAGGAAAUUCGUCGUGGUGUGACAGCAGAUCUGGAUGCUGAUGCAGACAUGUGAUCAGUUUGAACAGAUGGAAAUUGUGGGAUUUCCUGCGAUGGCUCAUCCCCACCAGCUGGAAGUGGGAUAGAUGGACUAGCUACAGUUAUUGCAGCUGGUUCAUUUUCUCCUACCUGAACCAGAGAGGCAGGAACAGGACCUGAAGCAGUUGCAUUAGGAUGAGUUGAGAAUACCAAGAAGUGUGAACGCCCAUGAGCAGAUGAACGACUCCUCUGGCCUUCCCUUCGAGCAAUGUGGUGAGCCCUUCCCAUAGCAGCAGCAGCAGCCAAGUGCUGAAUUAUUCGCUCUUCGAGUUCAGGAUCAUUUGUGCCCACUGGUAACUGCAUUACAGAGAGAUAUCAUAAAAAUAUAACCAGACAGGCUUGCCUUGUAAUGUGUAAUAACCAAGGAUGAAAAUACUGGAAACUGAUGGAAUAUUGAUGGCUAGAUGUUAUGGAAUUUCAGGAAAUAUCAAAUGGAAAUUUGGAAAAGAAUAUUGGUGAAACAUAAUUAGAUCAAAACUUAUAAAAAUGUUUAAAAAAAUCCCCAAAAUAAUAAAACAAGCAACAAUACACAUAUUAAAGUUGUUUUAAAUAAAUAAUAUAUAUAAUAAAAUUUGUAACAUUGAACAACAAUAUGCAAUACUUGAAAACACAUUUAAUACUAAAAUAAUGAUCUAUAUCUAAUUUGAAUGUACUUGAGGAAAUAAAAGAAAUUAUAAUAUAUAUGUAUAAUUAUUUUUUGUUUAAAAAUGUUUAUAAUUUUAUUUACAAGUUUAUAUUUUUCUUGUAUUUAAUUGUUGUACAAAAGAUAUAAAAAAGAGACUUAUUAAGAAGAUAUCACAUAAUUUUUAUCUUUUGACAAUCAUUUUAUUAGAAUUUAAAAUUAAAACAUUUAGAAAUAAAUGAUUGACUAAAGUUUAAUUUUCAACAUUUCAUUUCUGUAUGGAUAUAAAAUUAAUGCUGUAGAUGAUGCAAAGACAAAAUAAGUAUAUAUAUAUAUAUAUAUAUAUAUCCUUGUAGGAGAGUAGGGUUCACACUCCAAUCCCUCGUAAUUAGUUUUAAAAUAUGUCAUUUGAGGUGUUGCCGAUUUUGAUGUGAAAAGUGACAAGAUCAGGAUAAAAUCCGGAAAUAUCAGAAAAAUCGACAACAACCAGAAAUAGCUAAAAAAUUGGCGAUUAAAUCACCAAGAAAUCCAAAAAGAUGUGAGAUAUCAACAAAUUUCCUCCAGAAUGACUUCCAUCCUGUUUUUUCCCUUUGCCACCUCCUUCCAGUAUCCAAUAUUUUUCCCCAAAUAUCAGCAAAAUUUGCCGACAAUUUGUUCCUUGGUAGUAACAAAAUGAUAAAAGAAUGAUUCUUUCAACUGGUACUCAUGGACAACAGACAUGCUGUAAUUCAAAAUCCCCAAGGGUGGGAUGAUGAAAUAUUGCACUUCUUGGUGGAGUAAGCCUAAUAUUCCUCUCCCGUUCUACAGCCUCAAGCAAUUCCUGACUGGCACAACAUAAAAAUAGACACCAAAGAAGUAAUUCAGAUCCAAAUUGCAAAGCAGAAAAUCAAUAAAUGAAAAUGACCAAGAUGAACCUGGUUGGAUCCUUCAGGCUAAUUGAUUGCCAGCACAUUGGACAUUGAGAGCUUCUCUGGCACCUACAGAAUAACUAGAGUUAAAUUCCAGAUUCACAUUCGCUUUUACAAUCAUUAACUAUGGUUCAAAACUUUAUUUUGGUGUAAAUUGAUGAUUAACUUCCUGAAUAGAUUACCUUUGACAUUAAUGUAUUGAACUUCUCAUAGGAAUUUAAAAAUGACUUGUGAAUUUACAUUAUAUAUUUACACAUUGAACAUUUGAACAGGUCCCUAGGUGAGAUUAUGGAUAAUGACAGAAUGAAAAUUCAAAAGAAGCAGGUAACACUUUUUUGGAGUUAAAUGAUAUAUUGAUCAGAAACCAAUCUAUAGAAAAUUUGGUUGAUUCCAAUGAGCAUUCAUAUAAACUAAGUUUUAUCAAACCAAAUUUUAAAAAAGACCAUUUCAAUCUGAUAAGAAUCAUACCUAAUUUUUAUUUCAAAAACCAAUAAAACAUGACAUUUUAACUGGAUAUACACUGAUGUCCAUACAUCCAAUCGAUAUCAGAUUGCCAACAUGCCAACUCCAAUUUUAGAUGUAAUGAUUGUGUGCUAUUACUGUGAUUACAGAGAGAGAGACAGCCAUUGAGCACUGUAGGAAGCAGAAAUUCUCAGUAGAUGAACACUGUAGGUAGGAAUUAUUGCAUUUGAACACCAACAACAAAGACACAGCAAAUGAGCACUGCUGGGAGCAGACACUCUCAAAGGAUGUUAAGGUUUGACAUAUUUCCAGGCAAGAGAUUUUGUUAGAGAUAUGAAGUAGCGGUCAACAGAAGUUCAAGCGACUUGCAUUAUUAGGAAGUUAGGCACUAAAUCUUUAUCAUGGAUCUCUCAACAGCCUAAUCCUUCCCUCAUCUCCAGCACGGUUGAUCUUUUCAUUUUCAAGGAGGCCCAAUGCCAGCCUGUAUUGAGGAUAAUGUUGAUAUCAAGACCACAAAAAUGUGUUCAGGCACAUGCCAGAGGUAUCUUGUCUGUUUAAGAUGGACCAUUGGAAAUUUUUUGUGGAUCAACGUUUUCAAACUGAGACUUGAGAAGGCAUCCUGGGAAUUUAUUCACUAAGUAUUAAAAACCUUCUAGAUUGGUGAAGUUAUUCCUACUAGGAGGAGCUGCUGUAGCUUUGGUCAUUGAGAUUUAUUUUAGUUGGACCACUUUUCAUCUUGAUUAACAGUAAUUCAGUGUGCUUAAAUCUAUUGCUACUAUUUAUGCAGGACAGCAAUUGGUGAAUAAACAGAAUUACUAAAAAGCUCUCAGGAAAAACCUGUCCAAAUUCUUAUAUUACGUUAAAAUCAAAUUAGUAAGAAAAUAUUUAUUUGAGAGAGAGAGAGGAGAAAACACUCUAAUCACAACAUAUAUAUGUGAUGAUUAACAGAUUCUUCAUCAAGCAACUGCCCAACUUGUCAGUUCCAGCAAUCUAUUUCCUCAUUGUAUAUAACCCUGUUGUAUAAUCUGUUUCAAAAUACACCAGCAACUAUGCCGCAAUUAAAUGUCUUCUUCAAAGGUCCACCAAGAAACAACUUCUUCAGUGCCAAUAUGGUUUCUCCAGUACAGAUAGGUGUGUCUUGCCACUUCACAUAAUUCAAUGUUUGUGGUUUAGUCAAGUGUCAUUAACUGAUCACAUACUUUCAGAUCAAAUUUCGGCACAAUACGCUUGUUCUAAAAUCUCUGCUCACCAUAAUGCUUAACUUGAAUGACAGGUCCAUUGGUGUUCACAUAAAACUUCCAAAACAUUCUAGAAUUAUCUGUUAACAUCAAGACAGGUCCAUAUUUUAUGGGCUUAAGACUUAAUGAAUGAAAGAAAUUAAAUGUCAUUUUUGCUGGAAGAUUGUAGACAGCAUGGCACUUGAAUCUAUGUUUGAAGAACUACCUCCAACAGAAUUUAAUAGGUAUUUUUUCUUAUAGGUAAAUUUUUGUCCCUAUUGAGACUUGAACC
This 66322-nucleotide long non-coding RNA is filed under the name Vitis vinifera (wine grape). Its description in RNAcentral is "long non-coding RNA (VVIN_LNC002399)". Lineage: Eukaryota; Viridiplantae; Streptophyta; Magnoliopsida; Vitales; Vitaceae. The record is from RNAcentral.